This 45230-nucleotide long non-coding RNA is filed under the name Triticum aestivum (bread wheat). RNAcentral describes it as "long non-coding RNA (TAES_LNC011315)". The stretch from base 27129 to 27263 matches the Rfam family "MIR1120/MIR1122 microRNA precursor family". Lineage: Eukaryota; Viridiplantae; Streptophyta; Magnoliopsida; Poales; Poaceae. The record is from RNAcentral.
AGUAGGGAAGCGCAGCACAUGCAUGCAUGCAUGCAUGUCCCUUCCGUCGAUCUACUGAAGUCAGUGCUGUCUCUGUCUACUAGAAAUGUUCGGUGUGUGUUGAUCUAUCUUAUAUUACUAGUGUACUACUCCAGAUCUGUUGAUCUGCCGCUAGCUAGUUCCUUCUGUCGAUCCUACCGAAGUUCCAUGUAAUGCCCAAGAAGAUGCUGUGUGUGUCAAGUUAUCUUAGUGUGCUCUGUUGAUUUGCAUGUCUCUUAAUUAUGAUCUGUGAUCUAGUAUAUCCUACAACGUCAGGUUGAAGAUGGAUCUAGCAUUUGUGUGCAGCACAUUUGAGGCUGAGCAUCCAGUGUUUUUUCCGGUUCUUUCUUGUGUGACAUUGCGCUGUAAGCAUUAAUUUGCCCGUUUUUCUGUCUGGGUUCUUAGGAGUGUGUGGGCCAGAUGAUCUGUCUCCUUUACGAAAAAGAAACAACUCGUCUUGAUUUCUCGCCUCCAUCUUCUUUUGUUCCUCUCUUUACUGCAGGACAUGUCGUGCUCAUCAGCUUCUCCUCCCUGGAGUAGUGGUUCUAGUUUGUUAACAAUCUCUUCAUAGUUUUGGACAGAUGAGAAAGCAAGGAUUAAUUUCUUUUCUUUAUUAACAGAUCUUUGUAAUGGUUGACAGUUGACACUCGGUUAGCAUGCAAACGUUUCCGAAACUCGGUUAGAAUGUUUGCAUCACAAUAUUGCCGAUGUUUCUUCUCUGAAAAGGAGCGAUGAAGAAAGAUGAAAAGGAUGAAUACACCGUAGUCACUGGCUACUAGCACCAUGCCACUUGCCUGUUUUGGUGACAUUAAAAUAUGUUUCUUAAUUCUAAAAUCAGUGCUUCUUUUCUGAAUGUAGACUUGAGGAUUGUAGCCGUAUAUUUUUCCUGCUCAGUCAUGCACUCAGUUUCCAACAAAGGAUUUGAUCCUGUGUAUUAUUGCUCUAAUUGUUAACUUCGAAAAAUGUAUCAGAUCCAUUGAGCCUCAACCACAAACAAAACAUGAACAAGACCGAAAGGCCAUAGAUGUUUAGUGCAUCAGCAUUGACUAGAUUGCUGAUGCUAGUGCAAGUGUGAGACUGUUAGAACUAUGCCCUGGAGGCAAUAAUAAAAGUUGAUAUUGUUUUAUGGGACAUUUACAUUUGUGCCCAUAACUGGAACCAACUACUCAUAUUUGCCCCUAAUUUCGAAGCAUACCCAAAUCUAUCCCUCUGUCGUUAGUUGCCCUUAUAGAACUGCCCUUUUGCGUCGUUACCGUCCGAUCAAAGGGCUUUGACCAUCUCGAUAAAAUUAGCAGAAAAAUCUGAAAUUUUGUGGGAUCAAAGAUAGUUAGGUGCUUGUCAAUUUUCUUGAUGUUUAGACAUACCAGGAGCAUGUGGCAAUGGAAAACAAUAAAUCUGUACGACUGUGAAUAGUAAAUUCAAAGAAAAUAGCAAGAAAAUUCAAAAAGUACGAAAUUUUUUGGCAUCCAAGAUGCUCGGAUGCGCAAGGUGUGUGCAAUUUUUUUUAUCAAAUGACAUGCAAGGAGCUCUAGCAAAAAAACAAAAUAGUGUAUUUGUUCAAAGUUUUUUCCGAGCCAGAUUUUGUUUUUUUCGCGCGCUCCUACAAUGUCCAAGCACAACAAAAUUUUGCACACACCUUGUGCACCCGAGCAUCUUGGAUGCCAAAAAAAUUCAUACUUUUUUGAAUUUUCUUGCUACCUUUUGAAUUUACUGUUCACAGGCGUACUGAUUUACUGUUUUUCCUUCGCCAUGAGCUCCUAGAGUGUCCAAACAACAUGAAAAUUUGCACGCACCUUGCGCACUUGAGUACCUUCAAUCCCACAAAAUUUCAGAUUUUUUUGCUAUUUUUUCGAGACGGUCAAAGCCCUUUGCCCGGACAUUAAGGGCGCGGAAGGGCAUUUCUAUGAGGGCAACUAAUGGCAGAGGGACAAAUUUGGGCAUGCUUCGAAAUUAGGGGCAAAUCUGACUAGUGGAUUCCAGUUAGGGGCAAAAAUGUAAAUGUCCCUUGUUUUAUUUGCAUGUUCGUAAUUAAGUUUAUAUUUCAAUGCUAGAAUUGCAUUGGUUUUUGAAAGUGAGAUUUAGAGGAAAACCAAAUUUCAUGUUUAGAGAUAUAAACGCGAAACAGAGUUAGACCUCUGGACUUGCUCAUGUAUUGUUGAUGGUUCUGCUUUCAUGGCCAUGUGCAUAGUUAACGUAACGAGGAUGAAAAAAAUGAUCAGAGCAUGUUGUUAGGGUAAUAAUGAUGUUGGAUAGAUCCAUCGUAUUGUAUAACGCGAGUUCGUGUUGUCAAUAUGUUGUAUGUUACUCUAUAACUGGGUAAUUAUAAAGUUAACUUUUGGUAACGCAAGGAAGUAUGUCGUGGUACUAGAUAUGUGAAGACUUAAACUUGCCCCUCCGGCGAUCGAUAUAUACACUCUCAGACCACAUGGUAUUACACUGUCUGGCAUCUCUUGACCAUGUAUUGUGACUAAGGAAUUAGUCAUGUGCAUCCCGAAAUACGAUUACAAGGAAAGAGUACAAACCUGUAAUGAGGAUAACUACGUAUAGUGAUCAAGUAGUUGUCACAACGAUACAAUCAAAGUCUCCCCUCAUGUUUGGUAACGUAUGGAGAGGGAAAGGCAAUUGCAUGCGAUAAAAAAAGUUUUUUUUAUAAAGAUCUACAAUGUUAUGUGGGGAUUAUUGUGCGUGUCCAGAUCUCACUAAUAAUUAUUGACUAGAAGGUGUUACAAACUUGUCCAUGUAGUCUUGAACCUAUAGGGUCACACGCUUAAUGAUUAGCAACAUAUAGGAGUAAUAUGUGAUAAUCAAGAACAAGAUAGAAGGGGUCCAAAAGUAUUUUGAUAAUAUCAAAAUUGUUCCCGGAGGUCCCGAGAGCGUCCCAGUGAUAUCAUGUAGUGUCUCAGAAUGUUCUGUAAGGUGGCGAAAGCUCCAAUAUGUUCCAAAAACCUUUUGAAAAUUCUGGAAGGAUCCUAAUGCCACCUACCCCCUGCCUUGGGGGCAAGGCGGCCCAUAGGGCCCAAGUCGGCCAACCCCCCUAUUUCUUGGGGGGGCAAACCAACAAAAGGGGUGUGCUCCUACAAGGACUCCACCUCCAUAGGUCGGAUGAAACCCUCACCCCUCCACCUAUAUAUAGGUGUGGGCGCAUCAAGAGAAGUUUGGUACACGCACUCACCCCUAUGGACACAUGUACGAACACCCUACACAUAUAAGCAGCUUCAAGAUAUUGAGGGAAUAACAUCUUGAGAUUAAUGCGAGCAUUAGUGUCAAGAACAUCACUUGAACCCUUGUGGGCUGACUUCACCACCAGGAACCUAACCAUCUAAGCUAUGUCCAUUAUUACCUAUAGUAUUGUCACAAAUAAGACAUCACUGAUGAAGUACCACAACAUGAACCUGAUGCGGCGAUACAUUGCUGUGCAAUCCACAAACUCUUGUCGUUUCAGUCCUGUCACACUGUCCUGAUUGUUCCACAAACCAACACAAAUCAGAGAAUAAACUCUGGAAAUCAGAAACACGAGUGCCAUAACCAAAAAAAAAUCACCCGAGCAAUAUUUAGCAAAUCCCUUCGGUACCAUUAUUUAGAUUGGAGCUUUUCAACUCCAUUUUGAGAUUGACCACAUUUAAAUUUGGACUUAUCAGGUGAUUAACUUUGUUUUUUUUUUGCUUGAGAAACACAAUGCAGACAUAGACACUCACAUAUAUGCAUGUACAAUUAUAACCCUAUAAAGACACACACCACUGGCACUUGGGCACAUAGGUGUCAAACAUGUAGUUUGAUCCAUGGUGUGCUAGGGGUACAACCAUCCGCCUAAUCAUCCAACCACAAAAUGAUUCUCGGUAUUGGCAUAAUUAUGGGUGGGUUUGCAAACUGAAAAAAAAAAGCAUGCUCUACCUUUGUCUAAUCAAACAGCUCGCCAGCCAAAUAAAUCUGGAAUGGAGGGAUAACAACGGUCGAUCCUAUCCAUCUUUAUCCAUGAGGUUUCAUCCUGAUGAUGAUAUAGAGCAUGUGGGUAAUCUCAAAAAAAAAUCUAUAGCAUGUGAGAUUUUAUCUUUAAUGUCCUGCUACCAAAGAUUUGCCAUCGUGGAUAAUUUCCUAAUUAGCAUCCUUAUAUUAGCCACCUUUGGAAUCCAAUAAUCUUAUUCUAAAUUUGGGAGCCUGUCUUAAAACUCAUCCUUAUCUUUGAGGAGUCAUCCGGAUGAUAUCAUGAUUUGACCACGAUUUUAUAUGGCACGUUGUUAAUGCUCCAAUUGAAUUCCUUCCAUCUGCGUUAUUCGGGAAACCUGCUGCUCAGGACUACAAAUAGGAGGGAGCGAGCAAGACAUCCAUACCACACUCGUUUCUCGCAUCACAAGGUCGUUGGCCCCGUAGCACAAGCGAGUUCAUCACAAAACCAGCUGCAAAGGCUCGACGGCGAUGGCUUCCAAGAUGGUCGGCGCCCUCUUGCUGGUCCUCCUGCUGGCGCUCAACCAGAGCGACGCCCAGGUGUUGCCGACCCCCUGCUGCAACCUCAAGUGCUGUGGGUACGAUUGCUGCGGGCCCCCGGUCACAGCCACGGCACCCAUUUCGCCAUUCUCCGCCGCCCCCGAAGCAGGACCGGCCGGCCCGGUUUCGCAGCGCGUGCUCCGCAAGGUCUUCCCCGGAAACUAGCGAUGUUCAGAUGCAUGUAGCGAUGCCCCCCGUGACGUAUGAUUCCAUUGCAAGUGUGCUACUGGCACCUAGCUAGUUUCGCUGGUAUUACGUAUUAUUUUUAGCUUGUAUUCCUGAUUUGUUCUGUUCCAUCGAAACAGCAAUAUAGGAGUUUAUAUCCUGCAGUAGCAUUCCAAUUCUACAGCUAUAAUGUGUGUGCAAUGAUAAACCAUGUUCGAAACACAAAUAAUCCACCCAUCCUUCAGAAGAACAGAACGCAUAAUCCUCCAAUUAAAUCUGCCGAACCUGAAUCAGCUAUAGCUGCUCUAGUCUGGAUCAGUCCUUCAUCUCGGCUGCCUUCUCGUCUCCCAGAACAAUAUUGUUUCCUAAAAAGUAGUCAUACAUGUUCCCUUUAGGUGGACAAAAUUCAUAACCGGUUUAGCAACUGCGCCUACUAAAAAUAGCUUAGGAUAGGUUUUUACCCCUUUUUCUUGAAAAAAAUAUAUUUUUGAAUGUGGCCUCAGUGCUCAUACAACCAUAAGGCGUUUGAAUGUGGUCAAUCCCAAGGUUUCCCCAAAAAAGUUUUUGUCGAAGUGUGCAUGCGAGGUUAUAGAUUGUUUUGUCCCUAAUGUGAUUUUGUUGAUGUGUUGAUUUCCAAUCUGGAUCUACAUCGGUACGAAACAAAGGCGAAUUGUGAGCUAUUGAUUAAGGUUGCAUACUAAAUAACACUUAAAAAUGUUUCACAGCUAACCAACAUCAUUUGAAAAUUCUACACAUUUUUCUAAUCAACUUUUCAUAUAUAACAUGUCAAAAUUGAAGUUACGGUUCUUAAGUUAUUGAUACUUUUAAAAAGUAUUUGAAUCUGCCCCCAAAAUAUAAUGUUAUUUUCUAGAUGGACUAAGGGUUUAUUAAAUGAAAUAUCAGGGAGUUUUAUACAAAAAGUAAAACAUUUUCUGGUGUCACUUAAAACAGGAUUGUGGGUUUACCAUUUUCAUUGCAAAAAGCUUUUUCUUUGCGGGAUGAUAGCCAUGCACGUUCCCUUUAGAUGGCCCAAAUUUAUGGCCGGUUUAGGAACUACGCCUACUAAAAAUAGCUUAGGAUGGGUUUUAACCUUUUUUUUCUUGAAAAAAAAUAUGUUUUUGGUUCCUCAAAUUUGCCGAAAUUAUAGAUCUGGUCCGUCAAAAAAUGUAGAAACAAAACAUAUAAUUUAAAAAAGUUAAUCAUAUACUCCCUCCGUCCCAAAAUUGUUACAUCCGUAUCUAGACAAAUCUAAGACAAGAACUUUGGGACGGAGGGAGUAUAUAAGAAAGGUCAAAACUAUAUGUAAAAUGUUUUAGAUGUAUACUAAAAAUGUACAAUAUAUGAAAACAAUAGUUAUCAAAACAUAUAUCUGAAAAAAUGGUAAUCAUUUAUUUGAAAAAAUGUUAAACAUAUAUUAAAAAAUGUUUUACAUAUAACUAAAAUGUUUGAUGUAUAAAAAAUAUAUAAUAUGUACAAAAAUGUAGGCAUGUGUUUAAAAAAUAAAAAUAAUAAGAAAGAAACAAAGAAAACAGAAAAGGAAAACAAGAAAAUCGGAGAAAAAGUGCAAAAAAGAAAAGGGAGACAAGAAAAAAUUUGGGAAAAAAUGGAAAGGAACAAAGCAAAGAAAACGAAGAAACAAAUCAGUGAAAAUCGAGAAAGAAACAAAUAAAAUGGUAAACCGCAAAGUAAAAAAGAACAACAAAGAAAACCGACAAAGAAACAAAUAAAACUGGAGUAAAACAAAGAUAAAAAGUUGAAACAGUGAAAACCGAUGCAAAAGCAGUGAAAAACAACCAAAAACAAAAGCAAAGAAAAACAGUAAGGAAACAACAGAUAAACCGAGAAAACCAGUAAAGAAAACAAGAAACCAAAGCAGGGAAAAAUCGAAACAAAACAACAGCGACCAAACGAAACGCAUGACCGGGAAAACAGCAACGCCCGAAUGAAUGUACUUAGCCGACGCAUACGCGUGGGUGUUGUGGGCGAGGGGAGCUACCAUCUCGCUAUAAGUGAGAUAUAGCUUGUGCGGAAUUUUCUUACUAAACACUAGUAUUCCUCCCGACGCGUUGCGACCCUAUUCGCUGUCCAAUAGGCUUUGUAAAUAAUUAUUCUGGUUAUAAAAGCAUACGGGAAAUAGAGGAUGCUCCUUCAUCUCAAUAAAAGUGCUCAUAUGGCAGGCCCACGUGCCAAAGUGAAUUUUUGAAAUAUUCUUCUUUAUUUGAUUAAGUAGAGGGAAUCUACUGUUAUCACCCUUUGCAUGCAUGAAUUCUCUUGUGGAUAGAGUCGGGCGCACCAUAAGACUAAAAUGGGCACACGCCCCAAACAUUCAUGAUGAAAUUUGAAUGGUAGAAAACCAAAGUACUCCUUCCUUUUUAUUUACUCUGCAUAUUAGGUUUAACUAAAGUCAAACUUAAGUUUGACCAACUUUACAAAAAAAUAUACUUUUACCUUAAUGAAAAUAUAUGAUGUGAAAGUACAUUCAAUAGUGAAUCUAAUGGUAUUAAUCUGUUAUUGUAUAUGUUAAUAUUUUUUGGCCGUUUUUUCCUUACUGCUUUUCUUUGCUCGAAACUUCUAUUGCACACUGGCACUUGAUUUGUUUAUAAACUUUGUCAAAGUUUAUUAGCUUUGGUCCAUAUUAGCUUUUGUUCAACCCAGCUCGAAACUUCACUUGAACACCGGCACUUGCUUAAUUUUGCCUGCUAUGAAGUUAGAUACUGAACUAUGGCAGGAUAUUUGCACAGUUCUGUGGUAUUGAGUCUAUGAGAUUUUGCAGAUGGUGCGAUAUGGCUUCAAUCUGAACGUCCCUCCAUAUCCGUGAGAGUAGGGAAUCUCUAGCUGUGAACACUACCUGAAUCAUACCCUACGCCGCGGCAAAGGGCCUAAAACACUCGGCAAAGUCUUUGCCGAGAAUUGUUCUCGGCAAAGUCUUUGCCGAGAAUUGUUCUCGGCAAAGGCCACUCGAUGUCCCACGUCCAACGCCGAGUGGAUGCUUUGCCGAGAUCUCCUCUCGGCAAAGCUAACGAUUAGCAAACCAGCCACGUGUCCACCACCUGACUGGCGGGUCCCACUACCUAUGCCGAGCAUCAACUUUGAAGAUUAUACAAUUUCCACUUUACCACUAUUUAUAAAAAUGUAGUCAAUGUUAGAAAAGUUUGACUGUGUCAUUCUACAAAGUAUAUUCUUUCACUAUGGCGAAUAUAGGGGGAACUGCAGAAUCCUCAAGCAGGAUUUUCAUGGGAAAACCCCAGCUUUCCUCUGGUUCUGUCAUCCUCUCGAUUCCUGAUUGUGUGGGCAUGAUUCAUAACAAGAGCAUCCUUAUGUACUCCUCAAGGACGGGGAGCGUCUGCCCUUCGCCGUAGCCAAAGAGGACCCUCACCAUCCUCGCGAGGUUUAGCGAGAUCCGGGUCAUGCUGGGCGGGAAUGUCCUCCUGGAGAAGCACUCCCUGUUGAGCUCCCCCCACUCACUCUCGAUCAGCGCCAGCAUAUGCCCCUUCGCGUCGCCACCGGGGUUCUCUUUCAGGUACAACUCCUUGUAUGAUCCGUCCAGGCCAUCUUGCGCUUCGUCCUGCAUGGUGCAAGAAUGGUGAUCAUGUUAUGGUAUCUUAAACCAGUGGGGCUAAGAUUCAUUAGAAAUUCUAGGUUUCUAAUUAAGCAGGGGGGUAAUUUCAGCAGUUGGAAUCUGACCUUGGCACUGCCCAUGUCAUCCCAAAGUCUCAAGAUCUUUGACGGGCAGGAGAUUAUCGGAGGGAUACGGCCGGCCGUGAGGUUUGUAGCAUCCCUUGUUGGAUCAUGUCCUAGCAUGGAAAAGAGAUGCACAAGUGCAAGUGGUCCUCCUGUAGUGAUGACGCCGUUCGAUAGGUAGUCAUCUAGGGAAGGAACAUGAUUAGCAGACAACCAUUUCGCCUCAAGCAAAAAUGCAUCGAAAAGCAUGGCCCACUGCAAAAGAAAAAUGAAUUCACUAUUUUCAGUUGAUUAUUAUUUUCCUUUUUUUAAUAUAUUUAUACAUGAACUUAAAUAUUCUCAAAUAUUAUAUAUUGGAUAGAUACAUAUGUUGCUCGUCCAACAAACAAUUUAGUUGGUUAUCUAGACAAAUCAGGAAAUCUAAAAGAAUAAAGAUAUUCCAAGAGACAUACAUCUUUUUUGAGAUGAUCAAUAGGGUUCAGCCCAUGUUCUCUUUCAGCCAUAUCUGCGAUGUCAUUUGUGAUUGUAUAAAGAGAACUGUAGCAUGAUCUCAUGUAGCUUGGAAGUGAUGCAGCAGCUGCAAGAUCCCACCUGUAAGAAAUGCAUUUUCUAACAUGAAAUUUCGGUUACACAAUACUGACAGUUACUGUUGAUCAUAAACAGCGAGAUGAAUUUAUAGUAGCCAGAAAGGAAAAGCCUACGUUCUGAUUGCCUCGGUGAAGCGAGAAAGCUCCUCUUGUGUUGCAACAACAUCAAAGAUGUCAUCCACAAUACUGACAAUUGCAAUGAUUUUGGUUAUCUCAAUCCGGUAUCUGGAGAAGGAUUGCCCCUGGAGGAUAGUCAUGGGAAACAUGUACCAUUUAAGAAUUUGGUCACGCGUAGCUGGUAUUUCUUGAGCCAAUCCCAGGCCCAUCCACCAUCUGUCACAAUGACAUUUAGAAGUUAAAGAAGAAAUUUGUCAAUACCCCCAAAGAUAGGUAUAAAAUGGAGAAUGUUAUCUAAUGUGAAGAUGGUAAAUCAACUUGGAAGACAGAUUAGGUACUAAUUUUCAACUCAGUGGUCUUUGUGAUGGACCUGAGAAGAAACAAAUGCUCUAGCCACAUUCCUCUUCUGGGAGCUGCAGAUAAAACAUAAAGUUUGCAAGGAAUGAACUUAUAUAUGUACCUCUUAACCUCUUGCAUUUCCAUCUGAUGCUGCAACUUGUUAAGCUUGAAGUCUGCAAGUGCCAGCUCCUCCAUUGCAGUGUUCCGAGUGGGCAAGCUCUGGAGAUAGCUCAGGUGGUGUCUAGCCUUGUACUGCAUCAGGCUCACAUGGUAGGGAUGAUCCAGUGAAUGCCUCACAUAUCUUGCAAGGUUUAGGUCCAAGUGUUUAAUUGCAGAAGUGAGGUGUUUCCUUGAGAAGUCAUUUGCCUUGUAUAGUGAUGCUUCUCCCAUGUUCAAGUGUGAUAUGUCCUGCAAGCUGAGCAACCCUCUGAUGUCUUUGGUAUGAUCAACGUUGAAGUCCUCGUUUUCAUUGACAAACUUUUGAAGAACCUCAUCUACCACAUCAAGGAUAAAGGUUUUUAGGAAUAUAAACUGUGGUUGCAAUAACAGGGCGAAAAUAAAUUUUACUUUCAGACACACAAGGGGUUGAGACAAGGGGAUUCCAUGUCUCCUCUCCAAUUUAAUAUAGUGGCCGAUAUGUUGACCAUUCUUAUAGGCAGGGCCAAGCAAAACGGUCAAGUGGAUGGGCUAGUACCUUGUUUGGUCGAUGGGGGAGUCUCCAUUUUACAAUAUGCUUACAACACUAUCUGUUCAUGAAACAUGACAUUGCAAAAGCGCAAAAUAUGAAACUCAUAUUAUGUCUUCGAACAUUGUCUGGAUUAAAAAUAAAUUUUCACAAGAGCGAGUUGUUCUGCCUUGAAGGCCAAAGAAGAGCAAGACACAUAUAGACAAUUGUUUGGGUGUGAAUUAGUUUCUUUACCUUUCAGCUAUUUGUGCAUACUGAUUCAUCACCGUAAGAUAUCUAAUAAAGAAUGGAAGUGCAUUGAAGAUCGAAUUGAAAAAUAGCUUAGUUGCUGGAAGGGCAAGCUAAUGUCGUAUGGAGGUCGGCUAGUGUUGAUAAACUCAGUACUUACUAGUAUGCCGAUGUUCCUAUUAUCUUUCUUCGAGGUACCAAAAGGGGUGUGGAAGAGACUUGACUUCUUUAGAUCUCGAUUCUUCUGGCAGUCAGAUGAGGCCAAGAAGAAAUACCGUCUCGCACGAUGGGAUAUUCUAUGCCGACCCAAGGACCAGGGGGGUCUCGGUAUUGAAAACCUGGAAGUUAAGAAUAAAUGUCUUAUGAGUAAAUGGCUCUACAGGUUAGAGACAGAGCCGGAGGGUAUGUGGGCAUAGAUAUUACGCAAUAAAUAUCUACAAUCAAAAACGCUAGCCCAGGUCACCGUGAGACCAACUGACUCGCCAUUCUGGAAGGGAUUCGUGUGAACGAAAGAUUUGUUCUUUCGUAGGGUCAAAUUCGUGGUUGGCAAUGAGAUGUCAACAAGAUUUUGGGAGGAUACGUGGUUAGGGGAGACGCCACUAGCCAUACAGUACCCCACCCUAUAUAACAUUGUGCAACGUAAGGAGGAUUACAUAGGCACCAUACUUCAAUCGACUCCCUUGAAUAUUCAGUUCAGACGUGCGUUAGUUAGUGAGCGAUGGACUACCUGGAUGCACUUGGUCCGGAGAUUGAUAGAUGUUCAACUAUCCGACCAACCAGAUUCGAUGCACUGGAAGUUAGCCAGAAAUGGGGUGUUUACGGUGAAAUCUUUUUACAUGGAUCUGACUAAUUCUGGACCAAUCUUGAGAUCGUUACAUAUUUGGAAGGUUAAGGUUCCCUUGCGUAUUAAAAUAUUUAUGUGGUUCAUUCACAAACAAAUGAUCCUAACCAAAGAUAACUUAAUAAAGAGGCGGUGGGUAGGUAGUUCACGUUGUUGUUUUUGUGAUCAUGUUGAAACAAUACAACACUUAUUCAUAGAGUGCCCAUUCGCGAAAUUGCUUUGGAGAACGAUCCAUAUAGCCUUUAACAUCACUCCUCCAGUUGACAUUGAAUUGUUAGUUGGGACGUGGUUAGCUGGGGUGGAGCAUAUUACUGCGAUUGAUAUUCGGAUUGAAAUAUGUGCGCUUCUUUGGGCUAUAUGGAAUUGCAGGAAUGAUAUGAUUUUUAACAGACAACCUAAUCUAACUUUCUUGCAGGUCAUCUUCAGAGCUACUGUAUGGAUCCGUACGUGGUCCUUACUCACUCCUACGGACUUCAGGGAGCCUUUGGUUACUAGGUGCAACCAGUGGGAGAUGGUAGCACGGGCUAUAUUCAACCAGUUCAGAUGGCGGUUGCAUAACAAGAUAGGAGUCUAGGGAGCUUGUCCUUUACAUUGUCAUACCUGUUGUAAUAUUGAACAUUCGCUUCUUUUUUCCUUUUUCGCUCCGCUUGCGAGCUGUAAUACUUUUAUGACUUUGUGCUACUUCGAGACUUCUUAAUAAAAUGGCUGCAUGCAUCAUCCGAUGCGGAGGCCGGGGCCGAGCCUCCAUUUUCAAAAAAGGGCAAAAAUAAAUUUAAUUCGAUAUGUGGAUUAGUCACAACUAGCUAGAACAACUUCUGGACCCUGACAAAAAAAGCGUACUAUUCUGCAUGACAAAUUCAUGACCAAUGAAUCAAAAGCCCUCGAGAAGGUCGCAAAUCCUCAGAGUUCCCACAUCCUCUAGACCAGUCAUUCCUCUACGCAAGGUCAGUCACCACUCACCACGCACCACCACAGGAGAGUGCCAGCAAGCCAAGAUUUUAGGUGUGACAGCCAUUGCCGAGAAGGAACAUGCCCCACAUGGCAAAGUUUUUUAUCUUUUUAUAGUAAAUUAUGAUUUUGAACUAUCUUAUAAAUCUUGUACUGAAUUUGAAGACCAUGAACAGUAAAAAUGACUUGGGCCCAUGAACACCGUAAACAAAAUGAGGGAUCAUUUCUAUACUAUCGAAAAAUAUAUGAUAAGUGUACUAACCUGCUGAAAUAUCAUAUCCAUCUUCUCUCAGUAGCCUGAAGGAAAGUGUUGCAUCUAGUAGAUCAUCACUGUCAACAAGAUUCAAGCACGCAUCCAUGCCAUCAUUGAUCUCGUUUUGGAAAUAGUGGUCGAUGCAGAGGCGCUUGAGGUGAUCAAUAUCAGUCAUCACCUUCCUCUUUUCCUUAUGGUUUUGAUGCAGCAUUUCCUUAACACUCUUCAGGCCCUCCUGUUAUUCCAUGGAGAGAGAAAAAAAAUUAAAAUGCAAAAAUGGGAGAUAUGGGAGACUUUAUGUUUCACUUUGCGAGGCUAAUUCUUCUAUUCAUCAAAGGGGAAAAAACAGGCUACUUUCCUAUCUUCUCCAAGGCUUAUAGCAGCGCAGUUAGUCAGUUCUUUUCCGAGUAAUUCAGUUAGUCAGAAAUUUAAAUGGUUAGAAAAAAUAUAUCUAAUUCAAUAACAAGCCUUAAAGUCACAUUGGAGAACUGAUGGUGAUGUGAAUAAAUUUCUACCAAGAAUAAAAGCUCUCAGUUCAUCUUGGUAGUCCAGAUAAAUAGGGGGUGUCUGCUAAGUCCAGAUGAGACGUGCGGAGGCUGGUUAAGCCGGAGAAAUAGAAAAACUAGGGCGUUUGAGCGCCAGGGGUACGCGGCUAAGUUUUUUUUACCGGAGCUGGGAGCUACCUGUGGAGAAUCUACCAUUCACUUGGUUUCUCUGAGAUUCGUGCCAGCCUUUUGUGUAUAAAGUAAAAAUAAUUUGCUAUGCAAUACAGACAUUAGACAAAGGAAUACAUCUAUGCAUGUGAGAUGUGUGACAACUUUUGAUGUGACAGGACUGGGUGACUGAUGAAGAGGACGGCGCAUGGGUUCUCUGCCCCAAACAAAAUAGUUGCAUUUUAUUUCCUGGUCAUAUUUUGAAUGGUUAAUAACUAUGAACCAAAUUUCAGUAAUUGAAUUUUUUUUGUACAUUUGAAGUCAGGGUGAUAAGACCUUUAAAACAAGACCGGUCUUGAAUACAAUUUGGCUAGAUUGAAUUUUACUGUUUCAAUUAGUUUCACAUUGCAAAAAGUACGAUUUUAUUCAUUUCAAUAAACAGAGUUUACUCAUUCCAAAAAAAAUAUUUCACUACUUUGAAAAUACAGAUUUCACUCAUUUACAAAUUGAUUUCAUAUAUAUAUCAAUAAGCUGGUAUAUAAUUUUUCAGAAAUAUAAUAUUUCAAGAAACUAAUUUCAGAAAACAUAUUACGCUCACUCAAUUGAAAUACUAUAUUUCACUUGUUUCAAAAAAGUGAUUUCACUCAUUACAAAAGAUAGAUUUCACUCAUUUUAGUAGUUUCAGAAAACUACUACACUCACAAUAUACACACUGAAAUAAGCGGUUUCCCUGAUUUCACUCAUUUGAAAGUACAAUUUUUGCUUGUUUCAUUUGAAAAGAAGUGCUUGAAUUAUUUCACUCAUUUUAGAGGACCGAUUUCAGUCCUUAUAAAAGAUUGAUUUUCAAUCGUUUUGACUUAAAAUAUAUGUUUCAAUUCCUUGAAAUGAUUUAUAUCUAUGAACUUAUGAAUUUUAUUUUUUGGACUAAGUGAAAUCUAUAAAACGAGAUAUUUUUUUGAGAAUGUGAAACACCUUAUUUUUAAAUCUAGUUGAAAAAUAUUCAAUAUUGAACUUGUUCUGUAUAUCAUGUUGCAAGGAAUUUGAAUAUAUAUAAAAAAUUCAGUAAUGGAUUUUUGUGAAAGACAGUGACCAUCUAAAAUUGUAAGCAAAAAUAAAAAGAUGCAUUUGUUUGAAAGGGCAGAGAGAGGAAAGAAGUUGCAUGCAUGCGUACGGUAUGCUGACAGAAGUAGUACCUGUAGCUGACAUACUAGUGCAAAGUGGUGAAAAGAGGUGGGCCAGCCAUCUGACAUACAACAGUGUUAUACAAGAGGUGGGUUAUGAAAAUAAAAAUGCUAUACUAGAGGUGGGCCACAUAAAUGCACGAAACGCAAACAAGACGAACGAUGGAUGCAUGGUUUGCCGGUACCUCCAGGAACCGGUAAAAAGAGGUUUGCGCGGGGGUACAUCGCCCCAAAAAAUUUCUCUUGUCUCGUGCACUUAUUCUUCUACCUUCGUAUAGGGUUAGACCCAACAGCCCAAACUUCGCGUGCCCAUGGCCACGAGGAACGAGGACGGCCGCGCGUUGCUGAUGGCCAGGAGGGGGGACUCGAUAUGGAGGAGAGGGAGGGAGGACGAGGAGACCGCAUAAGGCGCUGGAUUUGAGAGAGGAGAGAUUUUGGGGAGAUGAGACGGGAGAAUGGAUUUGUGUGAUUUGGAAGAGUCGAGGAGAAAGUGAGGGGAGAACAAAGAAUAGAAACCAAGGGGGAGAUAUUUUCUUUUUCUUUUUUUUAAAUCAAGAUAUUCUCUUUCUACUGGUGAUAAGGGCAUCUUCAACGGUGAACGCUUGUUGAGGCUUUUACAUGAUAGGAAAUGUACGGGAAAUGAUUGGGAUCAGCCGACGGAUAACGACGCGUGUGAUCCACCGCCACUGUGGCCGUUAGAUCAGGUUUUAAUCAGAUGGCUAGAAGCAACGUAUUACCUAGACUAGUUUUUGCAACUAAAGUCGUUCUUGCAAUCUCCCCCGCCGCAAAAACUGUUGUGUUGUGGGAUCUGGAUCCCCUCGACAUUGGCCACCACCCGUGCACCUCGCAAGAUCCCCAUCAAGCCAACUCUGUCUCGUGCUGCUUCGACCGCCGUCAUCGACGUUCGCCACCGGCAGCAUGCCGACAAGGUCGCGGGCGUGACCGCAGCCGUUGCCGCCCACCUCCACCAUGAAUGUUGGACGUCCUGGUGCGCCCGAACUCAAGCUGCAUCCCGCCGCCCAGUGGGAGCACCAGCAUCUGUGUCCUUGGGGGGGAGUUACGUCCACCUUCGCCCCACCGUCCCGAAGGAGCACCAGCCUUUCCUUAGGUCGACAUGGUCGAUGCUCUCUACAACCAGUUUCAGCAAUAAGGUAUGUUGCAAAAAAAAACUGUAACAAGACCUAUGUUGCAAAAUAAAUAGAUUUCAACAAGACCUUUGUUCCAAAAAAAAAUGCAACAAGACAUCUGUUGCAAAAAAACUGUAACAAGACAUAUGUUGCAAAAAAUAAUCGGCAACUUGAGCUAUGUUACAAAAAUUUCCGUAACAUAACCCCAACACGACAUGUGUUGCAAUGGUAGAAGGUUAAUCUUGGGCGCUCCAGAUUUGACGGCUCGUAAGGCGGCAGAUCUUUUAAAAAGAUCCAUGGGCCGACUGUGUAGGGUGUCCAUCCCUCCAACGCCAAUAGCAAUCUAUAGAUGGCCCAUGAUUUAUGAAAAAAGAAAAAAAGAAAACAGAAGCGCUCGAUGCCUUGCGCGGCAUUGACGCAAGCGAGAUUCCCUGUCUAGGGUGGGAAUCGGGCAUAACUGCCGGGAAAUCAACCUUGGUGUCGAUCGUUAGCAUCCGCGUUGUAAAUGCCCUAGGAGGAUGGAUUUGACCCUAAAGAAAGAUGGAUUUGGAUUUGGUUCCAGAUGUUACAAAUUUCUGUUUGGAAAUUCGGGGCCGCUCCAAUAUCCGAAAUUUGAAAAGAGUUUCAGAAAACAUAAUUCAAAAGAAUAAAAUAUGACCAAAAUCCAGUAGAGUUUUUGAAAACCGUGCAUCUUUGGUAAAAUGAAUCAUGUUCAUUGGAAGGGUCAACUUUCCAAGGGGCGUGCUAUUUGGCGGGCGCCCGCCAAAUUCCAUACUCAGCGGCCAAUCAAGUUUAGAAGUGAAUUUUUUCUUCAAAAAAAGUUUAGAAGUGUUUUUUGUUUAUUAUUGAAAUAAUAAUUGACAGAAAUAAAAGUAUUUUGGUUGUUUUUCUGUGAGGAAAUUUUGGUUGGGCUUCAUAGAUUCGCUAGUAAAAUCCUUCCAAAUAACAACCGUGUAAGCGAUAGUCUGGUUGCAUACCCCUUCGCUCUUGUACGCCAGGGCACCCUAUGCGCCUCCGUCGAUCGAUCUCGUGGUCUUAGUUCCAAGGAAGCGCGGUGGAUCUCGGCAGUUGCCGGCGGGAGGGCUUUGUUUUCAGAUGGUUUUUUAGUUUUGUUAGGCUUUGUGUACUACUCGGAGAGGGGAGGCGACGGCUCUCAGAAGAUGGAAUAAGGUCCUCCCAGCCUAACCCUCAUCUGGGUGGUGUUUCUAGCAUCAUCGAAGGGCAUGUGAAGGUUUCUCUCUGGCGGAUCUCAUGGGAUUAAGUCGGUGUUUGUCUUCCUGGAUCCACGUGGAUACGAUCUUCAUUCGUUUGUGUUCAUGUGCCUGCAAGUUGGAUCCUUCUGAUCUACACAUCUCUUCAUCGGCGGCGGUUGUUGACCUAGUGCGCUGGUCCAGUGGGGCUUUAUCAUGACGACUUCCCGACUGUCUACUACAACAAGAUUUGUCUGCCUCCCAUGAGGGAGGGGCGAUGACGGCGGCAUGCCUUCGGCUUGUUCCAGUGCAUGUAGUCGUCGCUAGGUGGUCUACGAACCUGGGUGUACUUUUUACUUCUAGUACUAUGUACUACGUUAACAGUUCAUGAAUAGAUUGAAAGUUUUUCACGCAAGAAAACCGUGUAAAAAAACAAAGUAUUGCAACCAGCGGCAGCUAGUAAUUUUUCUUAUUUUAGCAUAUAUGUAGUCUCUCUGUUCACGGAUAUAAGAUGUUUGAACUUUUACUGAGUCGGGUGUAUAUAGACAUCAGGGACGGGCCCAUAGUUGUGCGGGACUGUAUGGCCCACACAGGGCCCAUAGAUUUUGGGGGGCCCAAAUUGGUAUAAGGCCUAUGUAUAUUUUCUUCCUGCCGCGUCCAAGCGGCCUGCUCGAUGCCCCCCAAACGGGAUCCAUCGCAUCCUAUCCAGAGCUGGAGUUCCUAUGCGCCGCUCGUUGCGUGAAAAAUCCCCAAAAAGUCUGCUCGAGGGAGGGAUCAAACCAGGGACCUCCUGUUGCUUAUGCGCGAGCCUAGCCAACGGGAUAGAUGAGCUUCUUCGUGUACUAUGGCGUGUGAAGCUAAUGGUAAUAUAGAUCCGAGCAUUUUGUCAAAUUCUGAAGGCGAACAUUAUUUUGGAAAUAUGUUUUUUCAAAGGGACCACUUUUCAACUUUGAGAAGAAGAAAAAAAGCUCGAACAUUUCUUGAUAAACUGAACACUUUUUUGAAAAUGGCGAACAUUAUUGAAUAUGUGAAUAAAUUCUCAUUAAAGGCGACAUUUUUUGAAACUCUGGACAAUAAUUUGGAAACACGAAUAGUUUUGGAAUCGGUCAACAAUUUUUGAAACAAGAACAUUUUUUCAAACUCAGGACAAAAUUUGAAAAUGAAAACAUUUUAUAAAAUUCGAACAUUUUUUAAAAUUUUGAACAUUUUUUUAGAAAUAUGAACAGUUUAUCAAAUCAAGAAUGUUUUUUAGAACUCUGAUAUAUUCUAAAAAGGAAAAAGGAACAGGAGAAAAUAAGCAGAAAAACGAGAAAAGAAGAUGAACAUUUUUCAAAUUCGUUAGCAUUUUUUAAAAAGUCGAACAUUUUUUGAAAUUCCCAAACAAAAUUAGAAACAGACACAUUCUUGAAAGUUACGAACAAAAUUUGAAAUAGAAACAAUUUUUGAAACAACCAAAUAAAAUUGGAAAACAUGAACAUUUUUCUCAAAUUUGCGAAUGAAUUUUGAAAGAGGAACAUUUUUUACGAACUCCUAAACAAAACUUGAAAAUAUGAACAUUUUUUGAAUUUUGUGAACAAAAUUUUAGAACUAUGAAUAUUUUGAAUUUGUGAACAAAAUUUGGUAAGUAGAAUAAAAUUUUGAAAGAAAGGAAUUUCGAUAGCAUGAGCAGUUUUUAAAAUUGAAGAAUUUUUUUGAAAAUUUAGAACCUUUUUAAAAAUCUCAAACGUUUGGAAAUUCAAACAUUUUUUCAAUACAUGAACAAUAUUUUGAAAACCGGAACACAUUUUUUAAACUUUGAACAUAUUUUUUGAUAAGCGAACAAUUUUUUUAACUUCAAAAAUUUUUGUAAAGAACGAAUAGUUUUUACAUGCAGACAAAAUUUUAAUAGUUUGAAUAUUUUUAAAAUUAUGAAAAAUGAAAAACUGAAGAGGAGGAAAAAUAAAGAAAAGAAACAGAAAGAAAAGGAUGAAAAAAGAAAACUUGUAAAGGUAGAAAAGGAAAAGAUAGAGAAGAAAUAAUAAACAGGAAAAAGGAAAAAAAAGACGAAACAGAAACAGAAAAAAAGUGUUAGGAAGCUUCUAGAAGGUUCCCAAAACCGGAAAAAACGGCUGGGAACAAGCGAGAAGGUUCCUAAAACCGGAACAUCGAAACAUUUUACAGGCCGGCCCACGCGCGAACCCUCGAUCGAUCUCCCUGUGCGUCCGCCGGACAACUUGCGGCAGCGAGCGGCAUUCCAUCCAGAGGCAGCCAACGAUUGCCGCCCUCAAAAGAUUCAGCGUAGCGCUGGGUUUUUUUCCGCACUAAUUAUGUGUUGUACUAUGGCAGAAGAUAUAAUUACUUUAUGCCCAGCCAUAAUUACCUUCAUGUGCUGUGUACUGAAGCCCAAAACAGCCCACGCGCAUUAUCCUGUAUUUAGGCCACUGUGGUAAACUGUACUUUCAUUUGUAUGUUUGGCUUGUCUAAAAAAAAUUGUAUGUUUUCCAAGACCUAGCGUCCAUCUAUUCCGCGCCGCCGUCGCUGCCCUGUCGGUUGCCUUGUGAGUUGCCGGAUGCCACCUACACACCGCCGUCAUGGUUCGUCCAUCCUACACUGGCAGCAGUGCGGUGCGAGUAUUCAGUCCGCAGAUCACUGUAUUGUAUUGGCGUAUCCGUUUCUUGAGCAGUUAGAUCUAUAGGUAUGUAUUAAGUACUAGUUUUUAUUAUGUUGGUGGAUUUCAAUCCAGUAUUCUAGUGAUCUCGUUUACUUGCAUAUAAGACAACAGGUUAAUUCACAAAUUAGGUGUGUCGCUUUUCCAUAGUAGAUGACUUUGAUUAAUUUGGCAAAUCACAUGAUCACUUAACCCAAAUGAAAUUGCUGCAAUAGACCCCAUGGUCUAAAGUCAAUCUAAUAAUAAAGAUUCACAAGGAUCAUUUUCCGUGAAGUUUUAUCUAUUGCGUGGUCAUUCUCUUCCCUCAACCCCUUCAUGUUUAAAUCCUGGCUCCACUUCUGCGCUUGAGAGCAAAGUGUUGAAGAAGAUUAAUUACAAGGAUAUCAUUGAACAUUUCAUUUCAAAGAAUACUAAAAGAAUGACUUGUUCAAAUAAAUAUCAGGCAACCGGGAGUUGAAUAGGUAUGCUUUUUUACACAUCCAAUUGCUAUGUAAGACAUUAUAUCAUAUACGUUAUAUUGCUCAUUAGUUUAUUUUAGUGAGAUGGGGCCCCAUUUUUUAGUUUCGCACAGGGCUCUGGAUUUUGCCGACCCAGCCUUGAUAGACAUGUUCUAAUGUGUUUGUUCAGUCAUUUUAGUCUGUACAUAGUAAUAUUAAAAUAUCCAGAACAUCUCUUAUAUUUAUGAAGCGAGUGAGUACUAGUUAUGUAAUGUGUCUAUUACCGGUGCUCGAGUGUCUGAGUGUUAACUUGGAACCCACUAAGAUGAAUUUCUAGACCCGUCGCUUAUUGCAACGUUAGAUUGAAUCAAUAGAUAAUGAUAUUCUUCUCGCCUAGCUCAUCACCGAGACAUUCGAUUUAAAUAAUCUUGUAUCCUUAUUAUUGGCACAAACGCAAUCAGAAGUUUCUUUCUCUUUGGGUCGCGCUAACUGCCACACGUGUGGCAGGAAGGAAGACGCACCACACGUCUCUAAUGUAAACAGAUUGCCACGUCAUCGCAUGCAUGCAUGCAGGAAUUUUUUUGGAUUUUCAGUUUUUAAAAUGUUUUAUCUCUUAAACGAAAAAUCCGAUUGAAAAUCCGUUUUCACCAUUAAAUCCCUCGCGAUGAGAUCUUCGAAACUAGAUCCAAUGUUGAUAUGUUUUAAUGAAUUUUUUUUUGGAUUAAAAGUUGCCAUGUCUAUUGCAUAUGAAUUGUCAUGAUGUUUACACUGAAGUUGCCAUGAUAUGUUUCAGCUCUUUUCUUCUACAUUUAAAAGUAAAUUUUGACAUUUAUAAAACGGGGAAUUAAGAAACUAGACUUGCCAUGAACCAUAAACUAAAAUUGCCAUGAUACAUGCACGUAAAAUUGCCAUGGUUCAUACAAAAAAUAAUUUUCAUGGUCAAAGUACUAGAGUUGCCAUCAUCAAAAUACUAAAAUUGCCAUGAUCUACAAACUAAAAUUGCCACAUGGCAACUUUAGUUUAAGCCCUAUGGCAACUGCAGUGUAAACAUCGUGGCAACUUCUGACAAAAAAAAAAUCAUCGAAACAUAUCAACAUGGGGUCUAGUUUUGAAGAUCUCGUCGAGACGGAUUUAAUGGUGAAAACGGAUUUUUAGUUCGCUUUUUUAUUUAGAAGAUACAACAUUUUUAAGCCGAAAACCAAAAAAAAUUCUGCUGAUGUCAUCUAUUCAUACGUGGCAAAAUGAGUGGUGAUGGAGGCGUGUGGGCGAUGUGCAAACGCCCACACGUGUGGGCGUUAACAUUUUCGUUUUCUUUCUGUCACCAAAAUACUUCACUUACUGAGGGUUUUCUAUCCUGCUCCCUCUUAUUUUCCAUUUUCACAUGAAAGAUACGAGUAUAAAAUAGAUCUAAGCCGUUGAUUGUACUAAAUAGUGGGUUUGAUUAACUCUUAACUUCUUACCUUCCGUGUGAAAAGAGAGGUUUUUUAACAUGCUCCUCUUACUCUCUGUCUCCGUGCAUGUUAAAAUUGCUCUUAUAAAGAUUUACAAGACGACGUGCGAGUCGAGUCGAGCACCUCACCUGGAAGUCAAAACCAUCGGCCAUCGCGUGGGAGUCCCGGGUAGGGCUCGUCACCAUGCAAGGGCGGAAGGAUCGACGUCGCCGGCCGCCAACUCCGGCCACCGGCGAGGCUGAGAACAGCGGUGGCUCGACGGAGGAGAAGACGUGCGCCGCCAUCAGUCAGUUGCGACUAUCACCUCUGUAACCACACAACUGUUGGCUAAGGAGCAAGUGAGCAACUACCGUACUUGUCAAGCCGCCACGAACAAAUACAUAUAGGCAGCGACGAACAUUUAUAUUACUGCGCCGACGUACACACACGCAGGAUGUCUGGCCAGAAAAGGAGGUAGGAUUUUUUUUGCCGACCUUGCGCUGAAACUUCUCCACGUCCCUGGAUCUAAAUGACUAGGGUGAUUCGUAGCCUCCUUUCCCAUACAAAUGUUGUGGCGCCUACGGGGUAAAGCAGCAGCCAUAUAUAUCUGUGCUAGGUUGGAAGAGUGCUCACUAGAAGAGAGCUACGUCGUUGUUGCUACUAUAGAUUGCGCCCGCCCUGAAAUCUCAAUGACCGGGAUGGGUUUCAUACGGAAUCUGGGACGAAAUCUGCAAGUGGAGAGGAAGAGAUUUCGACAACAUAAUUUUUUCCAACUUCACAGAAAUGUACGUGCAUUUUUUAGGAAUGUUAGUUCAAACAUUUUAACAAAAAUGUGUGUACGACUAAAAAAGGUGUUCACGUGUAUGUAAAAAAAUGCCAUGUAGAAUAAAAAUGUUCAGUAUUUUUAUUAAAUGUUCAUGUAAUUAAGAUGUGUUCAUCUAUUCUGAAUAAAAUACAUGUACUUUUAAAGAAAUGUUCACAUAUUUUAAAAAGUGUUCAUAUACUUUCAAAACAUGUUCAUGCAUUUCCUGUGAAAGCGAUCAUGUUAUUAAUGAAAGCAUUCGUCCAUUUGAGAAAUUAUUCAUGUAAUUAAACAAGUUUUCCACCCAUUUGAAAAGUCUUCAUGUAAUUUUAAAAUAGUGUAAUAUUCAUGUAUUUUUUUAAACCCAUAUUUUUUUAAUAUCUUAGUAUAUUUUUAAAACAAAACAUGAAACUUAAAAUAGAAGAGAAAAAGGACAAACAAACAAGAAAAUAAAAAGGAAUAAAACACAAAACAAAAAAGAAACAUGAAAAAAGGAAAAACCCAACACAAACCAGCACAAAAAAACCCGACAAAAGAAAAUAGGAAAAAACAACUGAAACCAGUCCGGUCCACACCCCCACAGCUGGGUCUGGUCCCUACCUUCGCCCAAAUUUUUAUGGCCAGCGAUUUUGCUCGGCAGGUUCAUUAAUGAAAUGAAGUGUUUCGAGCUAAAAAAAACGGUGAUCCAUAAUUUUUUCUUCCACGUUCGUCCGUGGACAGGGGGACCAGUCCGCGUACACGAAUGCGAGAGGCCGUCAUUCAACGCUAUCCUAUAUAUGUCCGCCAGUAAAAGGUAAUUUGAAAUUCAAAUUUAGUUUGAUCCACACAGUGUGUCACAUCACACCAGCGCCAGAUCGCAUGCUCUAUCACAGCCAAAAAGAGACAAGUAUGCUUAGUUUUUACAUGCCGAAUCCAAAAAAAUAUCAGUCUGACAAUCAGUGCAAUUUUUCAUAAAAUGGUGUGUGUGUGGCGCUAUCGGCAAGGCACGUUUCCUCCGUUCGGGCACCACAUGCGUUCUAAAAUAUAACAUCUAACUAAUGUAAUGAGGAACAAGCUACAUUAAUAAUAAAUGCACACAUUUCGGAACAUGACAUACUCCCUCCGUCUCAGUUUACAAGUCCUACGCGUAUACCUAGGUUACCAUUUUUAUCACCCUAAUAUAAACUAUAUAACACAAAAAUUAUACGGUUUGAAAAUAGAACAUCUGAAUUUUAUAUUAAUAUAUUUUUUAUAAUAUAUGAUUUAUAUUAGGUUGGUCAAAUUGACGACCUAGGGGUACGCGCACGCCCUUUAAACUGAGAGAGAGGGAGUACUAUCAUGGAUAAAUAAUGAAAUAAAUGAAUGACAUAAAUGUCAUCCAAUCGCCAAUGUAAAGAAUAUGCUCUCAUGGAGCUUACAACCAAAUCGAGUUUACUCGAAUUUAUUGUAUGAAAUCAUGGAAUCAUGAUAACUAACGAGGUAAGCUAUAUAAACGAGUAUUUAUAUAGGGGCAGGGGUCAAGAGAUAAAUACUCAUUUAACGUAAAGUGUGGAACCAGAAGGGGCUAAGCCGUGCGCAUCGCACGUGUCCGCCGCCACCCUCGUGGUGGACCCGGUUUCCCAACAAGUGUGUGUGCGCGCGUAGUGGCGCCGAGCAUUGUGGCUGGCUUUUGUGAGUGUGUGCAUUGGAGCUAGCUUGGGUUAAAAAAGCCCCCGUGUACUCGUUGUAAGUGCGUCGGUAUGAGCCAUGCCACGGUGCGUUGCCGAGCCCGGGUAUGUGCCCAGUAAAUUGACGCCGUUCGUGUGAUGUGGCGUUUGUGCGCCGGAAAUAUUUGUGUCCCUCUUCUUUUCCACCUAUGUCCGAGCGAGUGUGAGAGCGAGGUAGUCCGGUUUGUCCCAACACAGCCAGCAAGACGGCCACUAGCUGCUAGCGGCUUAGAUGUACUAAAAUGACAUUGUCGCCUCUUCAUGGUGAAAUCAUUAAUUUCCUUGUAAACACUAACAAUUGGCAUCACCUUUGUGUUAUUUGUAUUAGUUGGCGUGCAUCAACACAAUCGUGGGCCUAAGCCCAGGCCCAUGACUCCCUACCUGGCAGUCUAUAUAAUGCAAGAGUUGGCCAGUGUAGUUGAUAGACACACUCUCUCCUCGCGUAACCCUAUCCGUCAUCUAAAUGUACCUUUCAGUGUGCUGCUUCUGGCGAUCCCAUCCCGACAACCGCAUGCACAGUUGGCCAAGAGAUCCCAUCCUGACAACCGCAUGCACAGUUGGCCAAGAGAGCGGGUGCCCUCGAAACCACGUCCUUCGAGAUCCUACCCGGGAGAAGGGCCAUAAGGUUUUUGGGGAGCGUCUCUGUCCUCCUCUACUUCAACUACUUUCCCUGCAUGAUCCCAUGGCGAACGAUGACAAAGCCGCCAAGAAGAAAGCCACGGACGACGUCAAGGUUGUUGCUGUCGCUGCCUGGCCAACCAAAGAGUAUGACUUGUUCAUCCCCUACUAACUCGUUCAUCUGCUAGCCAUAUAUGUCCUGUACAUAGAUGUUUUGUUCUUUGUGUUAUACAUGCUCACAUGUUUAGCUAUCACCUAUCGGUAUGAGUUGCAUACUGUGAAUCAUAUGCUUACUGUUAACUCGUGAACUAGAUUAAUCGAAAAGGUGGUGCUAAUAUUUCCAACAUAUUUGAUUUGAUUUCCUAGCAUGCAUCCAGUAUUGCAGAUGCGAACGCGUACUGCAAAUCUGAGAAAGUCUACGCAACUCUAUUUCAUUAUAUGCAAGUCACGCGUGCAUACGGAACCUGAAAAGGGCAGUGAAGCUUUGUUGGUGGCCAGAGGUGAUAAAAUGCAUCUGUCCCUCAAGCAGGCUCAGAAAAAAUCAGCUCUACUAAAUGAUACAGAUUUUCUUACUGGCAUGCAAUGCCAAACUCGAGAAGCAGCUAAAUAAAUGUAGCAGCAACAGAACGUGCUAAUGCGAGGCGGGCGAAGGUUCUAUCUUCCCGGUACAGCCUAAGAUUAUUUCACUUCACCUUUGAACCACUUUCCAAUACAGACGAAGUCACCACCAACGAAUUUCGACAGAACUAAGUUGGAACCGAUUUCACCGAGCAUCUUAACCACCAUCUUCUGCUACCGCCUAGCUAAACUGGUGGUCCACUGGCAUCCCAGCGUUUUUACCCCUGGCAUGGGGUGGGUUUAUAUACACAAUCUGGGCUGUGAAACAACAGGAACCAGGAUUCAUCGUUUUACAAGGUGGACGUGAGCUUGCAACUGUGCGAGGAAAUUCAGCCAUGCCUGAUGGACCAACCCAGCAUUUCCCCUGCCAUCGUCGUAAGUGCGAGAAGAGCUAGUUGGAUGGAGGUCCAGAUCCACCCAUGCGCCUCCUGAGCCGGCCCCGAGUCAACCGAAUAGCCUCCUGGAUGAGCGUCUCCUCGUCUUCAGGCAUUGUUGGGCGGGGUGGCACGUUGCUUGUCGAAGGCCCAGAUUGAUCAACCAGCAUGUCUUCACUCUUUGGGGGGCUGUUGCCGGCGACAGGGCCAGGACAGGAAGGUGUUUGUUGCUGCACAGGAGGCACUGCGCCAGGAGGGGCAACUGGAACUGGGCCUUUAUCUUGCACCUGCAUCCUUGGUGGAGUAGGAGGAACUUGGGCGGCCUGUGGCGGCAUCGGUGGUGCCGUUGGUGCGGGAACAGGUGGUGGUGCAGGAUUCGCCAUCCGAGUCCGUGGAGGUGGUGGACGCUGCUGCUGUUGCUGUGCCUGUAUAGAGAGACAGUAAAGUAAGUACAUGAGACAUAUACAGCUGACACUGACACACACACGCACAAGCACACAAUACUAGGUAAGUUAAUGAGUUCUAAAAAACCAUCUGACUCUGAAUCCUGCAACUGGUAAACAGAAAGCCCAUGCUGCACUCUCGACAAAUGCACACAGAACUUCUGUACAUGAAUAAUCCUAACCCUUCCUAACAAAUGGUAUGACGAAAUGGUGCAGCAGUUAUCACAUUCCAAUAUGGAAAUUAUAUAUUAUACGUGCUUCUCAGGUUACUAACUCUAACAAAGGAUGUAACAAGAAUGGAAGUGCUAUUCAUGCAAGGUGAUACAAACUAUGUGGAACUAUAGAUCAAACUUUGCUAGAAGUACCAGAGGUAUGGAGCAAAACUAAAUUGCAGGUCGUCAACUUGAUCACUGUCAGUACACGAUCAAAUAUCUAUGUUGUCUUUAACAAGAUAUGUAAAGCAUCAAGCAUGACAAGGUAAUUCUAGACAAGUUUGCUUUUGUAUGUGUGCCCAAACAAAUAAGAGCUAAGCAACCUAGAGGUCGAGGACACCAUGAAUAAUCCUAUUGUGAUAAUUCUUGCAAGAAAAUUGGUACAGGAGUAUGGUAGAUGAAUGGCAUGAUACUACAAAAUCAUUGCUAGCUAAUUUUGUCCACGCAAAUGCCACAAUUAACCACAACUCAGGCUCCUAAGCUGUAAAAUAAACCAGAGAAACAAAUGCCAUUUCCUACCAAAUACCAACAGAGAUUACUGAAUAGUGAUAAAUCCAGGUACAAUCGUAAGCCAGUUUGAUUUGGCAGAACAAUUGGGUUUGACUAAACUGCGCCCUAACUGAUGAAAAGAAAAAGGGAUAAUGUUAUAAUGCAACUACAUGGUGAUGAGUUGAUGACAUAGCAGAACUUGUGCGGCACACAAAUUCUUCCAAAGGGUGCGACCAGGACAUACACACAAAUUCUUAGAGUGCACGCAAGGUAGAAUAUUCAACUGAACACUAGGGGGAAAUAUUUCUAGAAUUUCACAAUAUGGUGUGAAAACACUCCAGUAGUAGCGCUCUUAGAAGACCAGAGCAAAUUUCCCAACCUAUCGAUAAUUCACAGAAAUUCUCAGAACUAGGAAAAAUUAGAUGCAUAUUCUCUCUAUUAUAAAUGGAAGGUAAAUGCAUAUGCCAAAAUUUUGGAGCAAUAUAUGAUCUCUGAGCGUCAUACUAUAUUUCUUUUACCCAAACAUAGGAGUAUUAUUUAACUCCAAUUGUAACUACAAAAAAAAAUCAGUAAACACCACUCGUAGACGAGAGGCUGAAUGUAAAAAGAAGUGUUGCAUAAAGGAACAUAGAAAUGGGUAUUAUUCAUGUUUUUCUAACUUCCACUAGAAAUCAGGGAAUCAAUGUGAAUUUAAGAUCAUUUUAACAUUUAAAAAAAACAUGUGGUGGUAGGAUGCAAUACAUACAUCGUUAUCAAUACAACAUGUGAAUAAAUUCAUGGCCUAGCAUUUAAAAUUCUACUCCAGCCUACAACAUUGGGCUCAAAUAGAAGAAAACCUAAAUAGCACUACCAUUAUGGAACAAGCCACCAGAUUAUAUCAUAUACUCCCUCCGUCCCAUAAUUCUUGUCUUAGAUUUGUCUAAAUACGGAUGUAUCAAGUCACGUUUUAGUAUUAGAUACAUCCGUAUCUAGACAAAUCUAAGACAAGAAUUUUGGGACGGAGGGAGUACAAACUAUAGAAGUUCAGUCAUCAUAUAGUGGGUAGUGUUACACUUCUCGCUAAAAUAGACAUCAUAGCAGUACAAAAUGACUGUCACACAAGCUUUAAAGUUUUGAAAGUACCUGAGAACGAGAUCCUUGUGAUUGAGAAGCAAUAUAUUGCAAGAUUUCAUGGAACCUUGACUGGCUGUAGUCUGCAACCUUGUGGAAGUAAGUAACAGCAAUAUCACUAGCCCUUGUCCUCAACUCAAGAAGAUUGCGAUCAAUCUCAGAUUCGUGUUUUGCGAUAUAAGGCUUGAAGAACGACUCAUAGACAUAUGAAGUCCCCUGGAAUAACCCUUUGUUAGAGACAAGCCAUAAGACAUAACAUGUUAUGGCAACACAAAAAGCAGGAAACAAAACCUGUGUCUUAGGAUACCACAAAUACACAAUAAAAGCCAGCUUUGCUUCACUAUACAUUGGCAACCUGUAUGAAAAUGGAACUAUCAACCAUCAAGCAGAUGAAGUCCCCCAACUGUAAUCACCCAAAAUCCGAAUUCAAAUGAGUCACAUUACCAUGAUAUGAAAUUAUCCCCAACUCUCUCGAAAACAGUAAGCAUUGCAAGUAAAAUCCUGCAAAACCAUGGUCAUGCAUGUGAGACCAAGCAAAAACAAAGAAUGAUAGCCCAAAAUAAAAUGGAAGGACGUCAAAGACAUACCAGUACUGACACCAGAACCGCAACUGCUCAAUCUCAGGCCUAUUCAGCUCCACUGUCUUGUAACAAUCAUAAGCUGGAUAUGCAUAUCCAAGAACAAGUCUGCAAAACGGAUAAAUAGCAGAAACAUUGUGGGUGUAAACAAGAAUCACACCAUUGCUGUGAUUAAAUAAGAACUGAAUUGCUGCUUACAUUAAAGCUCUGGUGAUGAAUGAUCCGACAACCAUCUUGACCCCUACACCACAGAAACAUCAAUUACAUAUGUUGUCAAUUGCCAAAAGCAAGAUAGAUAAAUGUCCUAUGAGGGUCAAAUAUAUAACAGGCUAGCAGUCAUUAUGCUAUAUACUUCCGCAAGCUCCUUCACAUCAGCAAAACAGAACACAAAAAGAUGGAAAUAGGCACCGCAUGCUAGAUUAAGCCUUUAUCUUGCUGAUUACUUCAGCCAUCACACAUCUAGAAAGCCUUAUCCAAUCAUACUAGCACCAUAAAGUCAUACUCCCUCCGUUUUGAAAUAAUUGUCUUUCUAGAGAUUUCAACAAGUGACUACAUACGAAGCAAAAUGAGUGAAUCUACACUCUAAAACAUGUCUACAUACAUCCGUAUGUUGUAGUCUAUUUGAGAUGGCUAGAAAGACAAUUAUUUCGGAACGGAGGGAGUAGGUGAUACCAAACCAUUUGGCUAGAGUUCGAUUUUGUUAUAACAAACAGGGGCUACGCAGAGUAGGGGAAACCUAACGACUGCCUGUCCUGGCAAGAACAAACAAAACUUCUGUUAAAGUUGGGUCUAGAUAAGAACAGGGGGUGCAUCAAGCAUCAUAAGUUCAUAUCAGUCCAUUUUGCUAGAUUUCGAUUUUGUUACAGCAAGCACUGCACGGAAUAGGAGGAAAUCCAAACAAUUACAUAUUCCCAGUCAGACCAAACAAUUUACUGUUACAUUUUGGCUUUAGUAUAUGAUAGCAGAAGGUACACCUCCUCUGCCCUAAGAAAAUGACCAAGCAAAUCAAUCCGAACAUGAACUGGGAGGCAAAUUGAAUGGAGGGACCCGAUACAGAUCGAUUCAAAGGAGCAGCCAAAAGUACACCUAUGCUCUCAGAAGAAGACCAACCAAAUUAAUCUAAACAUGAACUGGGAAGCAAAACAUAAAAAGAUGAAAAUAGGUACUGCAUGCUAGAUUAAGCCUUUAUCUUGCUGAUUACUUCAGCUAUCGAACAUCCAGAAAGCGGCAUCCAAACAUGCUAGCACCAUAAGUUCAUAGGUGACACCAAACCAUUUUGCUAUAGUUCGAUUUUGUUAUAACAGAGGCUACACAGAGUAGGGGAAACCUAACGACCACCUGUUCUGGCCAGACCAAACAAAAUUUCUGUUGAAGUUGGGAAAUUUCCAACAACAAAAUUGAUAAAUGUCCUAUGAGGUCAAAUCUAUAACAGGUUAGCAGCCAUUAUUAUGCCACAGCCUUCCACAAGCUCCUUCACAUCAGCAAAACAGAACACAAAAGGAUGGAAAUAGGCACUGCAUGCCAGAUCAAGCCUUUAUCAUGCUAAUUAAUUCAGCCACCACACGCCUAGAAAGCAUUAUCCAAUCAUGUAUUCAUGUUAACAGCAUAAGUUCAUAGGUGAUACCAAACCAUUUUGCGGAGUUCAAUUUUGUUAUAACAGAGGCUACACUGAAAAGGGGAAACCUAACAACUACCUGUUCUGGCCAGACCAAACAAAAUUUCUGUUAAAGUUGGGUCUAGAUAUAUAGAAUAGGGGGUGCAUCAAGCAUCAUAAGUUCAUAUGAGCCCGUUCUGCUAGAGUUUGAUUCUGUCACAACAAAUACUACAGAGAAUAUGGCGAAAUCCAGACAAUUACUUGUUCCCAGUCAGACCAAACAAUUUACUGUUACAUUUCUGCUUUAGUAUAUGACAGCAGAAGGUAAACCUCCUCUGCUCUAAGAAAUGACCAAGCAAAUCAAUCUGAACAUGAACUGGGAGGCAAAUUGAAUGGAGGCACCCGAUACAAAUCAAUUCAAACGAGCAGCCAAAAGUACACCUACGCUCUCAGAAGAAGACCAACCAAAUUAAUCUAAACAUGAACUGGGAAGCAAAAAAUAAAUAAACGGAGGCACCAGGUACAAUAUCAAUUCAAACGAGCAGCCGAAAGCACCUCGCGCAAACCCAACCAGAUCAGCCUCGGCCUAGCGCGAAACCAGAAUCAACACGCCGCAGAGGAACCGCUACAUCAAGCUCGCAAAUCCCUCCAAAUGCGAGCGGCUCGCAAAUCCCUCCAAAUGCGAGCGGCUCGCAACCCCUGGGCGCCACGCCCCGCGCGGUUGCGGCCCCCGAACGGCACCGGAGGAGCAGCGCACCGCAGCGCGGAGAAUCGAACGGGGCACGGGACGCGACAACCGCAGCCUAAUCCAUACCCGAAACAACCAAACAGCGUAUCCGUGGCGUGUGCGGGGAGAAGUUAACCCCCGGCGGAGACGGAACGGGGAGGGGGCGGCGCCGCUGCUGCCGCCCCUACAGAAGGACCAAAUCGAAGCAAAGUGGGGCGGGGAACGAAUACCUUUCCUCCCGCUGCAAGCAACGGGCCGGCAGCGCGAGGUGCUGGCCCUCGGCGGCGGCGACGACGCGGGCUGUUGCCGGAGCAGGGGAGGGAGCCGCGGAAGCUUCCAGGAGGUUCCGGGAGGGAGGGGGCCUCCGUCCCGGGCCGGGUCGGCGGCGAGGCGGCCGAGGGGAGAGGGGGAGGGAAUUCAAAAGAGGGGUUUGCCUUUGGGUUUGGGGAUGGAAAAGGGGCGAGGAAAUCACCGUCAGAAACCGCUACAUAGCGUCCCACGCUCACGGUGGGGCCUACCCGUGUGCUACGCUGAUAGAUGGGCCCAGACGUGGUAUGGUCCCACCUGUCUGCCGGGCUUAGCUUGCUGCUGUCGGCUCGGGUGGGUGGAAGGGGUCGGAGGUGUGCGGCGCCGUUCUGGUCUGCGGGGGUCGGAGGGGUGCCGCGCACGCGUCGGCUCUUGUACCCGUGCGAAGUCGGGUGCGGUGGGCCGCAGUGUCAGUGGGUGGCCUCGGGUGGAUAAGAGCGCGCCGAGGUUAAGUAAAGAAUUGUGCUGUGUUUGGGUGCGAGGGGCAAGGAAUAUGUGCACGCCGGGAGGAGGGGAUGGGAUCCCAGCCCAUCUGACAACCCCCUCUCUCUCUCUCUCUUCGACACGCUUGUCAAGUGUUGCGGCAUCGUUUUGAUUUAACGAUGUGGUAUAUCGUAAAGUUUGAUAAAAAAAAUAUACUCCCCAUCCAUAAUAAGUGUCGCGAUUUUGAACUCAGAUUAGUAGGUGCAUAUACCGUGAUCGCUCCAGCUGCAAAGAGGGAAUAGAUUGUGUGUGGUAUCUCGCAAAAGAAAAUAUACACUACUUAGGGCAUCUCUAACAGAACCACCAUCACACAACUUUUUAAAUGCUCUCUCAAAUUUUAACUCCCCAAAACUGAGAAGUUAAGAUAACGGACAGACUUAACCGAACUUCUAUAUUUAGAGCAUCUCCAAUAGAUGGUCCAAAAUUUGACGGUCCAAAAUUGAAGAUGUAAAAUUUACACCGCCAAAAAGUGCGCUUUGGGGUUCUCAUUGCCUCAAGAUGUUUUUGUUACACUUAGGGCCUGUUCUGAACUUCUCUUGCUUCUCAAAACUUCACAUAUCCAGCUUCUUCUCCUCGCUUCUAACUCCACCUAGCGAUCGCAGGAGCGUUCGGGAGCAUCGACAGCUUCUCCCAGCGCUGCAGCCCAGCUGGGAGGGCUGUGGCCUGUUGGGCCGGCUGGAGGCAGCCAAAUUCGGUCCAACAUGUCAGGUGAGGCGGACUCCGGCGACUCGACGAGGUGAGGAAGAGAGCGCGAAGGGGAGGAGCAGGAAGGGGAAGGGGCGGUGUGGUGCGGGGAGGUGAGCGGCACCGCAGCCGUGGUCAGGCGCCGGAUCCCGCUGUGGUGCCUACGCCCGUGGGCCCGUUUUCGAUGCCUUCCCCGGGCUGCGUCGACGGGAACCGGCGGGGAUUGCCCUGGAACGGCUCGAUCUGUUGCCGGGAAGGAGCGGCGGCCGGCGACGACGCGGCGGCCGGCAACGGCGUGGCGGCGGAUUGGGUCAGCGCCGCUCGAGGGGAACGAGCUGGGGAGAGCUAGCGAUAGGAUUUGGGGGAGGGGAACGAAUCGGUAAGUUUUGCGGUGGCAUACGGCUGUAAUUUGGGCAAACUCCAGUUUCUCUUUUCCGUGGAGCUGGGCCGAGGCAGCUUCGAAUUUUUACACUGCGAUUGGGCUCAGCUUCCCGAAGCGAGCUUCUCGGGGCUUUUCCGUUCGGCUCAGCUCCCGCUCCAGAAUUUUGCAAAGCGUGGAGCGGGAGGACAUCCGAACAGGCCCUUACUGAGCGGAAGGGGGCAUGUGAACCUUUUGGAGAACUUGUUGAGGCUUGGGUACUGAUUGAAGGAAUUCCUCCUAAAUGGUGCACAUGGAAAGUUUUUGCUCAGAUUGCUUCUUUGUUUGGGGUACUGACUGAUGUAGGCUGGAAUGGCAUGUUCAGGACUUUCUUUGAGAAUGUUAGAAUAAAAAUUGCUUGUAGGGACCCCACAAAGAUCCCAUUUGAGAGGCUCAUUGAGAUGAAGAAGAAGUUGUUUUUACUGGGCUUUGCUGCGGAGGGAUUUGAGCAAGUUGGUGGGAUUGACUCUGUUAUUGAUAUUGAGGAUGAUGAAGAAAUAGAAGGAGAAGGUGUCGCUGAGGGACAGGAGGAUGAGGGUGGAAAUGCUUAGAAAGAUGGACUGGAAGACUUACUUGAUAGUGAGGAGGCAAUUGAUGAGCUAGAUAAGGCUAAUAUAGCUAAUCAAAGCAAGAAUAAACAGAAAGGGCCCCAAGCUGACAUGUUCUGUUCUGACUCUGAUCAUGAAACCUUUAUCCUGGAGUGUGUUGCUGCUGAUAAAGAAGAACAUCUUGUAACUGAAAAAGGAACUGAAUCUAAGGAUUUCUGUCCUUCUACUUUGAUGGAAUCCACUCCAUCCAAGCCACUAGUAAGGAUUGCUGAGGGGAUCACCAGUUCUGGAGGGAAGCUUGAAAGCAUGGAGUAUUGUGAGAGUAUACUUAAAUCUGUUGACUUUUCUGAGUCCGAGGAAGAGGAUUCCAAGGGUGAUGAACUUGAAACUCUUCCUCCUGAAGUUGUACAAGCCAUUCAAAACAUAUCUCUGAAAAGAUCUUUGCUGGAAACCCUUGAUCAGGAUCAGGAUCCAAGGGCAAAAGCUGAGAAGACCAAGUGGAGGCCUGUGCUGGUUCAGAAACCUGCUACUAGGGGGCAUGGCAAUUUGAAUAUCAUGGAAAAAGCUGCUGCUUACAAGAGGAAGCAGAAUCUGGAAAUUCCAAAAACUUUCAAAGGUAAAUCAUUCACUAAUACUGAUCAUAACAUUCUGUUUGAAAAAAUGAGUAAAAUUGAUUUAUGCAUUGGGGGGAUGAGGGGAUGAAUAGUGUAUCCAUAGCGUGUGCGGGGAGAAGUUAACCCCCGGCGGAGACGGAACGGGGAGGGGGCGGCGCCGCUACUGCCGCCCCUACAGAAGGACCAAAUCCAAGCAAAGUGGGGCGGGGAACGAAUACCUUUCCUCCCGAUGCAAGCAACGGGUCGAAGCGCGCGAGGUGGUGGCCCUCGGCGGCGGCGGCGACGCGGGACCUCAUCGGAGCAGGGGAGGGAGCCGCGGAAGCUUCCAGAAGGUUCCGGGAGGGAGGAGGGGGCCUCCGUCCCGGGCCGGGUCGGCGACGAGGCGGCCGAGAGGAGAGGGGAAGGGAAUUCAAAAGAGGGCUUUGCCUUUGGGUUUGGGGAUAGAAAAGGGACGAGGAAAUCACCGUGAGAAACCGCUACAUAGUGUCCCAAGCUCACGGUGGGGCCUACCCGUGUGCCACGCUGAUGGAUGGGCCCGGACCUGGGAUGGUCCCACCUGUCUGCUGGGUUUAGUUUGCUGCUGUCAGCUCGGGUGGAUGGAAGGGGUCGGAGGUAUGCGGCGCUGUUCUGGUCUGCGGGGGUCGGAGGGGUGCCGCGCACGCGUCGGCUCUUGUACCCGUGCGAAGUCGGGCUAGCUCGGGUGCGGUGGGCCGCAGUGUCAGUGGGUGUCCUCGGGUGGAUAAGAGCGCGCCGAGGUUAAGUAAAGAAUUGUGCUGUGUUUGGGUGCGAGGGGCAAGGAAUAUGUGCACGCCGGGAGGAGGGGAUGGGAUCCCGGCCCGUUUGACACCCCCCCCCCUCUCUCCCUUCGACACGACUUGUCAAGUGCUGCAGCAUCGUUUUAACUUUCCGAUGUACUACUAGUACCAUCGUAAAGUUUGAUAUAAAUGAAAAAAUGUACUCCCUUCCUCAAAUUUAAUACAAAGUUGACACUUGUUUUGAAACGGAGGAAGUAUACGAAGUAUUUUUACACUUGUUUUGAAAAGGACAUAGAUUAGCACGCGAAAUUUCUGCUCCCAGGCUCAUCUGCACCUGCGCUCAUAAAAAAAUCAAAGAAAAACUAGAAAAAUCCUUUUUUGUGUGUGUGGCUCAUCUGCACCUGCGCAUGGCCCCUCCUGAUUUGUCUUUUUUGUCGAGAGCUGUUCAGAUGUCCAAAUGAGUUAAAAUUUGGAGCUGACAUCACGCAUCAAAUUAUCUACCAGACAAAAAAUGUAUAUUUUUUUGAAUUUUUUUAGUAUUUGUUUUGAUUUUUUCUGAGCGGGAGCAUAUGAGCCUGGGCACCGAGUUGGAUUUUCACAUAGAUUAUGUACAUUGUGCAAUAGUACCUCGCAAAAGAAAAUAUAAAUUUCCUAGGGCAUUUCUAACUGAAACACCACUAUAUGACUUUUCAAAUGCUCCCUCAAAUCUUAACUCCUCAAACGGCAAGCUGGAGGACACGGGUUUUUCGGGCAAUACUUCCUCAACUUGGACUGCAAUCAGUCACGGCCUAGAUUUGCUCAAGAAAGGUUUAAUAUGGAUAGUUGGGAACGGAAGGAGUAUUCGUAUAUGGAGGGACGCUUGGAUCCCUAGGCCCUUUUCAUAUAGGCCAAUCUCAGUUCAGGGUACAUGCAGGUACCGUUUUGUGUCACAGCUUCUACGCGACAAUGGAUCAUGGAAUUACAAUCUGCUCCAGGAAGCCUUCCUACCAUGUGAUGUGCAGGAGAUUCUGAAAAUAAGAGCAUCGCCGCGGCUAGGCGAGGACGUGCUUGCAUGGGGGCCGGCUGGAAAUGGUGUUUUUUCAGUCGAAUCAGCAUAUACCUUAGCCUUUGAAGAGACAUACAUAUCUACUGCGGAAUCUUCAAGCUCAGCCCCGAAUGGACAUCAGACCUGUUGGAAAGUUAUUUGGAAAAGUUUUGUACCUCUAGCAGUACAGCAGUGAACUCUCUCCCAACUUGGCAAAACAAGAAUAAACGUAACUUAGAAACUUCGGGAAUCUGCCCAAUCUGCGAGCGGGAAGAGGAAGAUACUUUUCAUGCAUUAUGUAAAUGCCCUUUUGUGGUGCAAUGUGGGAAUGCAUGUCAACUGUUUGGCGUUUGCCACAGCUGGAGGAAAUGAAAAAUACGGGUACUGAAUGGUAUUGGAGGCGCUCCAUCCACUCCCUGAGAUUGAUAGUGGUAUGCUAAUGAUGACACUGUGGCGGGUAUGGCAUAACCAUAAUGAAGUGACUCAUAAAAAAGGAUCCAUUGUUGAUGGAAGUGUCCAAGCGUUUCCUGAUGAGCUACAUGGACUCGCUCUUAUCACUGAAAUACUCUGAUUAGGAUAUGUUUAAGGGACAGCAAGUGGUCUCUUAUGAUCAUCUAUAUAAACCACUUGUGAUAUUAUCUACACCUCGGCACAUUCCAUGGGUGUUGCCAAUGGAGGGCUGGACCAAACUCAACACAGAUGGUUCUUGGUCAGUUGAUGGAAGUGCGGGAGCUGGUAUGGUACUCCGGAAUAAUAUGGGUUAGACCAUUUACACAUCAUGCAUAGAGCAUUUCUCGUGCAGACACGCUUUGGAAGCGGAGCUUAGUGCAUGUACGGAGGGGCUUUUACUUGCCAUUCAGAGAACGGAGUUUCCUAUCCAUGUGGAGAUGGAUUCCCGACAAGCUGUGAGCAUGAUCGUUGAUGAGUUAACUGAUAGAUCGAUCUUCUCUUCACUGGUGAAGGAAAUCAAGCAUCUGAGGAACCUCCGUAGAACUACAUUUAGUCUUGUUCAUUGUAUUCAGAAUAGUGUUAGCAAUUUUUUGGCUAAGUUUGCUAGAACUCAGAGUAGAACUGUUGUUUGGCUUAACUCUGUCUUGUCAGAAGUUAUUGAGCUUUGUAAUGCAGAUCAUGGCAUUUAUCCCACUUGAGUAAUACAAAGUUCACCCGCAAAAAAAUCUUAACUCCUAAAAAAUGAGGAGUUAAGAUAGCGGUGGGACUUAACCGAACUCCUAUAUAUAACUCCUUAUAAAAAAGAUAUUUGCUAUUUAGCUAUCUUAAUGCCACAUGUUCUAGAUCCAAACGGCUGUGAUUAUUCUACUGUAUGCCCGUCGUUGAUGGAGAGAGUGUGGGGAUGAGCAGAGGUCGGAUCCCGUCGUGGCUCAGUGGAUGUAGGAUGAGGCAGUGGUGGCUUGCACCAUCAGCCAUGGACCUGGGCAUGCUGCCGCCGAGGCAUUCCAACUGUCUAUGGGAAGGGGGGAGGUCGUGGUGCUCCACGGGUGGAUGGCCAAACGCAGUGGGGUGAGUCCCACCUGGAUUGGCCAGAGUCGGAGGGACGCUCAGCGCCUUGACGUUGCCCGAACCGGAGUCGCCACCACCUCGCGUGGGUGCGAAAGGGGCGAUGCGCAGGUCGUCUAGCCACGAAUCCAUGCUUGAGUUUUUUUGUUAGAAAUCUCAUUGACUUACCUAAUAAAAUCGUGUUGCAUUGGUGAGCCAAUAAGUACUGAUCCAUUUAACAGUAAUAUCUGUUUAUAGUUAACAAUAAAAUUGUAGGUAAAUCAUGGUCAUUGCAUACAUUUAUGUGUGCCUUCGUUACAAUUCACAUGCAAUUAUCUAAUGGACUGAAAUUAAGGUCUAUGGCUUUUAAAAUAAUUUUUUAUUUCUUGUUGGGUUGAGAGUCAACAACCGGAAUCCAACACUUAAUUAUUUGUUGAUGCAAGUUUUAAUUUUGUGUUGCACCUGUUCGUGAGAAUGAGUCUUAGUACUGGAUGAUAACAUCACGUGGCCCUUGCUCUGUUUUCUUUGAACCAAUCUAGACAUGGAAGCCAUUUGUCAACCAAUGAUUUUUCUUUUUCCUAUUCAUAUGUGAAAUUUGUGUGCUAUUUUCUUGUUCUUAUGUCUAGCUAAAUCUAUACCUAAUAAUAAAGGGGCUAUUGCUGCGGCACGUCAUCGAAAUUGCCCCCAAAGUUGCAAAAUAUUACGCACUGAUGCCAUCUAUAUAAGGGAUAAAAAUGUUUCACACAAGGGAAUCCCCGCCUGGGCCGGCCCAUGCGGUAGGAACCUACUAUACUGCACUCUGUUUGUGCCGGCCCAAGUCGGGGCGGCAUAUUUUUUUAAAUUUUGUUUUCUAUUUUUUGUUUUUGUUUGCCAUCUUCAUUUUUCUACUUUAAAUAAUUUUGGAUUUUAAAAAAUUACAAAAUUAAAAAAAUGAGAAUUUUGAAAUAAAAUGUUUGAUAAUUCAUAAAUGUUUGUGCAAUUAUAAAAUGUUCCCGAUUUAAAAAAAUAUGUUUGCAUAUUCAAAAAGUGUUCGUAAAAAACAAAAUAAAUGUUUGGGGAAUAAAAAAUGUUCAUGAUUUUUUUUGAAAGUUUGUGUAUUAAAAAGCAUUGAUGAAAUUGAACAAAAUUUUGCCAAUUCAAAAAAUGUUCAUGAAUUGAAAAAUAUCAUAAAUUUUUGAAAACUGUUCAUGACUUACAAAAUAGUUUAUUGAUUCAUAAAAUGUUUGUGGAUAAAAAAAUGUUCAUUAAAUGAAAAAAAUUGUCCCACCAAUUCCAAAAACAUGUUCGUAGAUGCUAGAAAUAUUAUCCUAUUCAAAAAAAUGUUUUAAAAAGUAUUUUCAAAUAGUAUUAAAUGUUCAUGAAUUCAAAUUUUUACAUGAUUUUAGAAAAUGUUUAAAAAAAUGUAAAAAUCUUCCCGAUUUCAGAUAUGCUCAUGAGUUUAAAAUAUUGUUCAUGAGUUUCAAAAAUUGUUCACGCUUUCAUGAAAAUGGGAGUAUACUGUAUCUUGGUGAUGUAGCAAUAUGUGGUCAUGGCCAUUCAAGAUUAUGAUUUUUUUUCCCGUUGCAUCGCACGGCUGUUUUUGUAGUGUUUUACUUAUAUAUAGUAGAUAUACUUGUGAAAACCAUACAUAAAUAUUGCAUAUCUAUAUAAUUUAUAAUUUCAUAUAAUCCACACGGCAAUACAAAAAUCAAUUUUCAUAUAUAUCCCAAUCACAUUUAUUUCAGGGAGCAUGUCCUUGUACAUCAUCAGCUAGAUCCGUAUGUUUGUUGGAGGGGUGUACUUUGCUUAUUAGCGUAUAUGCAUAUUGUGCACUCACACCCAAAAGGAACACACUUGGCACUGGCGUUGCACGCGCAGUUUGGAGGGCAGUGAAACUUCAAGAGCUCUUGGCCCACUUGAUUCUGGCAUUCACUUAUAUCACAAUCAUGACCACCCGGCUGUGGGAUGAGUUUUCUCUUGCAAUCUUUAUACGCUGUCGCACCUACUCCCUCCGUUCCUAAAUACUUGUCUUUCUAGAGAUUUCAACAAGUGACUACAUACGGCGCAAAAUGAGUGAAUCUACACUUUAAAAUAUGUCUACACACAUCCGUAUGUUGAGUCCAUUUAAAAUGCCUAGAAAGACAAGUACUCCCUCCGUUCCUAAAUAUUUGUCUUUUUAGAGUUUUAAAUGGACUACCACAUACGGAUGUAUAUAGACACAUUUUAGAGCGUAGAUUCACUCAUUUUGCUCCGUAUGUAGUCACUUGUUGAAAUCUCUAGAAAGACAAAUAUUUAGGAACGGAGAGAGUAUUUGGGAACGGAGGGAGUACAAGAUAUCGGCAUGAAAAGAACAUGGGUCACACAUCAUGGCCAUAAUUUGAUAAAUGAGUUUGUGUGAUAUGCAUUAUAGAGAAGAAAAUGGGCACCAUAUGUUAACAGAAGGAAGGCGAGGACCAGGAGUUGAGUCACAGUACCGGUUCUCCUCAUUUUUGCCGUCUUAUGGCGUUGAUAUCUACUGUUGUUGAUGGCUACGAAACUUUAGAGCUGUUUAGGAGAACAAAUAAGAUGGCAAUCUUUUUAUAGAGGGCUUCAUAUCAAUACCAUUACCAUUAUUUGGAAAGACAUUUACUAUUGGAUAUUGUAUACCAAAAAAAUAAUUAUGGAGUAUCAAAUAAGUAAUACUAAUACCAUUAUUGGAAAGAAAUUUAUUAUUGGAUAUUGUAUACCAAAAAAAUAAUUAUGGAGUAUCAAAUAAGUAAUACUACUACCAUUAUUUGAAAACACAAUAUUAUUGGAUACCAAUACCAUUAACAUUAUUUGAAAAACACAAUAUUAUUGGAUAUCAAUACCAUUAACAUUAUUUUGAAACACAUUAUUAUUGGAUAUCAAUACCAUUACCAUUAUUUUGAAACACAUUAUUAUCGCCCAAUGCGCUUGCCAAGAAAAACUUACACCACACACCCACAACUACCGAGCCCGUUGGUGAUCGAGCCUGCCACUGUUACUCUAUGCAAGCAGCAGAACAACACGAUGCAGCGAAAGAACUCUAGCAGCGGAACAACGAUGACGGUGGUGAACUCCACUCCGCAGGGACUCUGGCUAGAACGCUUAUCCCAGCUCGCACGAACAGAAACCACGACAAGCAAGCAAUCAAAUCCGGAAUGACCUGCAAGCUGGCAUGACACGCCAGGUCAGUACAUUGAAUGUACUUGCAAGCUCACAAUAACCAGAAGCAUUCAAGACAGACAACAACAUGGCAAUUACAGGUUAAACAGGAAUUAUCAUGAUAUCAUCAAAACAAUAUAGCAUGAACAAGAUGAACAUGAUACGGCUAACAGAACAUGAACAUGGAAUGAACAUAUUAAUCCGACAAUACUAGCAUGCAACAUGAUGACACUAUCAUGCACUACUUAUUCUGCUCGGGUUACCUCGUAACCAACACAUGCAUCACUUACCAACCUCGGACAUCACACGAUCAUCUCAGGAUCAAAUCAAGCUUGGUAUAAACAAUACCGUAGUAAUCAUUAAAUGGCCACAAGGAGCUUGAUCUUUACCCACGAUUCUCGCACAACAUCACGAAUAUCCAACGACUCGGUAUCCUCAAUACCACCAUGAUCCUUACGGUGAUCACAACCACGACCAACACUUGGUCUCAAACCAUGAUCCUUACGACGAUCACAACCACGACCAACACUUGGCCCCAAACCGUGAUCCUUACGGCGAUCACAACCACGAGUUGUCAUUAAUCAAGUUAUUCUUAUUACUGUUGACUCAUGGUGUACCCUACUUUCGAACUGGGCCCUUAUCCGUGGGCGCGGCUAUCGAUAGAUUUAACAUACACUCUGCAGAGGUUAGUACACUGUACCCACACUACGGAACCCAUGGCCUCGCACUCCCAUUCGGGUGGACCAACGGCGUUCCGACAAAACCGUUCUAUUGCCAUGACACUCUCCCGGCCACUCCGACUCACUCCCCACUGGGCUAAGUCAUGGGUGGCCCCGUGUCUACCUCAAGAUACCUCAAUCCACCGCCGUGGCCCAAAACAAUAAACCGUCCCAAACGGGGACAUGUGCACAUAACAACAACAAUGGGAACACAAGUCUUAUGUCCGCCUACCUGAUCAAGGUAUCGCGCGCCCAUAACCUUCCCUCGUUAGAGGCACCGGCGAGAGGCGCGACAAUAGACCCAGUUAGGACCGUCCCAUACCGGUAAGCGUGGUUGCACUGGUCAGCAUCAUUUCAAUGGCACCAUGACUCAACCAACAGUUAUUCAAGUUCAAUUUAAUCCGGUUAACUUGAAUGCAAAUAUGCUGAGCCAUGAUAAAAUGCAUGAACAUGAUAUCAACAUAAUCAUGAGGGUAUCACAUAACUACCCACCAUAUCAACAAUAAUUCAUAUCCACUGAGCAUGGCAUACUGACUAGCAUGACCAUCACCAACAUCAACAUGUACUACUAGCAAGCAUAAACAUAUGAAAGGAAAUACUAGCAGGUAGAACAUGAUAACAUAGUACAAGACAACCUAGCACAAAAGUGAACAUGCAAAUCUAAACAUCACCGGAACAACGAUAACCAUCUUUUCAACAAGCAAAUAUUUAAUAAAGAUUCAAGUUGAAAACCGUGGCUACUGCAUGACUAUUAUGCAAGUGGGUAUUGUGGUUUCCUGGGGUGGAAGAAAUCACUGGGAGAAGCGCGAGAAAAUCGCGGAACGAAUCGCCGGAAAACAUACUCUCUUGGAGGGGGCCGAAUAAGGGCAAGGGCAUAAUGGUCAUUUUCACAGUGUCAAACCAUAGUGAAUGGAUGGCCAACAGAACGGGCUCGACGAAACAAAGAAGUAGGCUUUGGAAUCACCUCAUUUGGAGUUACGGAUAAAAAGAUACGGACAUUUAAAACUCAGGGACUAAUCUGUAAAAAUACUUCUACAAACAGGUCCCUGGCAGUUUUAAACCGAACGCGUCUUUCUGAGAAUAUGCCUUCAAAUCAGGAAAACGGCUUCGCGCCGGGGCUCCUCCACUUAUCCACGUGGCGCUGACCAGUCAAAGAGGCAGCAGCGGGGCCGGGCGCCUGGGUCGCUGCCAGGUGGGGUCACGGGGCCCGCCUGGCCAGGUCAACGCCCCACAUGGCAGGCUCCUUCUCCAGCUGGAUGCGCGCCGGGCCGAGGGGAGGCGACCGCCCCGACGGCGCUCGCAGGUGUGUCCGGCCACGGCAGGCGACGGGCGACCUACCCACGAGAUCGGGAGGAGGAGGCGCACCCCGGGGUAGUAUCCGUUGCCGGCGACGAGCACUGGAGAGGGAGCAGCAGGGGCCGCUGCGGAGAGGAGCUUCGGCCUCGGGAAAACUAGGGCUCCNNNNNNNNNNNNNNNNNNNNNNNNNNNNNNNNNNNNNNNNNNNNNNNNNNNNNNNNNNNNNNNNNNNNNNNNNNNNNNNNNNNNNNNNNNNNNNNNNNNNNNNNNNNNNNNNNNNNNNNNNNNNNNNNNNNNNNNNNNNNNNNNNNNNNNNNNNNNNNNNNNNNNNNNNNNNNNNNNNNNNNNNNNNNNNNNNNNNNNNNNNNNNNNNNNNNNNNNNNNNNNNNNNNNNNNNNNNNNNNNNNNNNNNNNNNNNNNNNNNNNNNNNNNNNNNNNNNNNNNNNNNNNNNNNNNNNNNNNNNNNNNNNNNNNNNNNNNNNNNNNNNNNNNNNNNNNNNNNNNNNNNNNNNNNNNNNNNNNNNNNNNNNNNNNNNNNNNNNNNNNNNNNNNNNNNNNNNNNNNNNNNNNNNNNNNNNNNNNNNNNNNNNNNNNNNNNNNNNNNNNNNNNNNNNNNNNNNNNNNNNNNNNNNNNNNNNNNNNNNNNNNNNNNNNNNNNNNNNNNNNNNNNNNNNNNNNNNNNNNNNNNNNNNNNNNNNNNNNNNNNNNNNNNNNNNNNNNNNNNNNNNNNNNNNNNNNNNNNNNNNNNNNNNNNNNNNNNNNNNNNNNNNNNNNNNNNNNNNNNNNNNNNNNNNNNNNNNNNNNNNNNNNNNNNNNNNNNNNNNNNNNNNNNNNNNNNNNNNNNNNNNNNNNNNNNNNNNNNNNNNNNNNNNNNNNNNNNNNNNNNNNNNGAGGAAGAAGACGAGCUCACGGGCGCGCACUGCUCGACCCUUGGCACGGCUCAUCGGAGAAGAAAAUGGAGGGGGGGGGGGGCGGGGUCCAGGCGAACGGCGACAAUGAUGCAGAGCUACUAGACAUGCGGGGACGAGCCAAAUCCAGCUGGAGCAACGAUGCCGAGGCCAACAGUGGCUAGACCACCGUUUUGGCUGGCUGCCCUCGUGGUCACCACUGGCAUGGUGCACUCUGGAGGUUUUACUGAGGCCAGAUUAUGUCUACCACGUAGUCCUUCAAAGAUAGAUUGUUACUACGGUAAAGGUUUGGGCAGAGACAAAUGGAGCUGAGUAAACCAUGCUCCACAAGUUUGCUGUUGCAAACUUGGCAACAUCCUAGAGGUAAAACCAAAGAGUUUGAAUGGUAAAUUUGAUGUCUGGGAGGCUUAGGGUAGAAAGGACUACAGUCCUGGGGGGUUUGAGGGUAAAUGGAUCAAGAUUUACUGCAGUUGCUUCACAACUGACCAAAAUGGUCCAGAAACUAGAUCAUGAUGAUGCUCUCACAUGGAGUUAUGAAAUGAGAUGCAGCUUGGCAAAUACUCAUGAUAUGGACAUAUAAAGAUUCUGUAAAAAGCUCAUGCCAAAUGGACAAGCCAAAAUGGCACUUGCUUCACAAACAUCAUUUCUGUCCAGAAACUUGGAAUAAUUAUGGUGAUCAAAUGGAUCAAUUAAAUGAUGCAAAAAUGGGUGGAGAGAUGUUUCAUGGGUAUAAGAAUGAUCUGGUAAUUUAUCAGGAUUUUUGAAGCAAUACAAAAUGCACUCGCUUCACAACCUGAAAAUAUUGCCAUAAUCAAAGAUUUGCUCCUAUGCUCACAUAGAUGAUUUUAUGGGACUGCAAAUUGGUGGAGGGGGUUAAUAUGAGCACAUUAAAGAGUGUGCAAAAUUUCAACUCAUUUGGGUACUCUUAGCUAGUACUUCCUUCACAAAGCCUUCUGUUUGACAGAAACUUUGAAAAAUCACUGAGGAAGAUUGACUAGGAAAAUAAAGUUUAACUUGUGCAUGAGGCAAUUAUUCGGACAUAUAAACAUUCCCAAAAAGGAUGGGAGCCACUAGGAAAAAUAUAAAUGACACUUCCUUCACAAAGGGCCAUUCAGGGCAGAAUAGAAAAAGGAAUAUUGGGGAAUUACUUUUGAACAUGGCAAUGAAUAGUUUUGCCAUAUUUGAUCAAGAUAUGACCCAAACAAUUUAUGAGAAUUAUUUGGGAAUUUUUGGAGUGAUGGAAAUAUAGGUUGCUUCACAACCUAGGGCAAUUUGAGUUAUUCCUUUAAUAGAAAAGGAAUAUUCCCAAUAAAAAGAAUAUUGGGAUUUGGGCUAGGAUGAAAAUGACAGGGUCUAGGAGAGGAUUUAGUAAUGACAAGCCACUCUGGAAGCAAAGAAGAGGUCAUCUUCUUCAGUUUCCAGACCACAAAGCCACGAAAAAAAAGAAAACUCAGGCAAAAACCUCGGAAAAACAAAAGGAAAAGAAAGGGCCAAAAAUCAGGCUGUCAUAGUAGUGUCAAAAACCGUCUUACAUUAUGGGACGGAGGGAGUACUACACAAAGUUACCUAUCUCUCACUUUCUCUCCUUUCGUAAAUAGACUAAACCAAGCUUUGUUUGGUGAAAUACAUGACCAAUCGCACGAGGGACAAGACGGGAGGUUGGGCAGUUCUGCACCACCCCGGUCGCCACAGCUCAGCCCCGCGUCAAUCAAAGUGACCAAAGAUCUAAGUGCAGUGAACAAGUUAUAAAUUUUUCUCUUGAGAGUAGAAAAUGAAACCACUGGAAACAAAACGCUUGACUACCAUGAAUCAAGUUUCUAGUAGUGAACUAUUUUGCAAAAAAACAACUACGUUUGCUACCAUAGUAUAAACAAAAAUUUGGCUUCGGAACAAAAACUGCAAGUUGGUGAACAAUAUACUUAACUAUCAUGAACAGAAAAAAAUAUGUGAAUGUGAAUACAUUUUUUAAGUAGAGUGGACAAAUUUCAACAUGAAAAGAAAAGGAAAUAAAACUAUAAAGAACGGGAGGUUGGACUGUGGCGGACAAUUUUUUUCUUACUGCAAUGAACCAACAUUUUAAGUGUAAUGGAUACAUUCUUUAAGUAGACCGAACCAAAAUUUUGACUUCAACACCAAAAUUUAAAUCAUGAUGAACAAAAACUAUAACCGCACUAUGAACAAUAAAUUUUGGACGCCGAUGCCGCACGACUUGUUCGGUACGAGGGGAUUGAUCCCCCCGCAUGAAUUCAUUCGGCAGGGGGAAUCCAUAGCCCACAGGCCUCCAUCACACCAGACCCUUUCCCUGUGAAAAAAAGGAACAUAAAACCCGCUGACGGCGAAUUAAAUGAAAAGACCCAGAUUAUUUUUCCGUGACAAAUAGAAGCCCAGAUUUUGCUCGGCUACUAAAAAAUGCCAUCAUCUUUAAAAAGCAUCAAAAUGAAAAAAAAAAUCCAAAAAUGCCAUUCAAGAUUGACCAAACUAUUUGCCAUUAUAUUCUUUUUUUACAAUGGCAAGGUUUGUAAACACAUAUUUGAUUCCCCAAUAAAGCAUGGCAAAUCUGCCAUGACAAAAAAAAAAU